GUUCAUUUGCAUAUCCAAUACAUUAAGAGAAGUUAAUGUUCCCAGGCAUUGUGGAAUCAUACCUGUCAAAUUGUUGUGAGCCAAAUUGAGAACAUUCAGGUAACUUGCAUUGCAGAAUGUUGAAGAAAUAUCUCCUGUGAAGUUGUUAUUUGAGAGUGAAAAGUAUCCAAUGCCAUCAGGUGGAAUUGGAAGAUCUCCUUGUAACUUGUUGAAACUCAAGUCAAUGUACGAAAUCCCAUUCCAUGAGUUUUCCCAUUCCAUGAGCUUCUUAUGAAACCAUUUGGGAAUUUUCCCAUGAAUGUUGUUGUUGGAGAGAUCUAACGAUUGCAGAUUUGGUAGUUGCGCUAGGAAUUUAGGAAAACUAUUAAUAUUAGCAUUAGAUAAUUCUAAGUCAACAAGGUUGGGUAAGAUGGAGUCAACAUUGCUAUUAAUGUUGAUAGAAAGAAAACUAUUAUGGGAAAGAUCAAGGGAACCUAGUUUGUUUAAUUUUGAAAAUUGGUGAAAAUCCACAACACCACUUAAGUUUGUGGAUGACAAAUAUAAGUCGGUAAGAUUUUGGAGUUGAAAUAUUGAAUUUGGAAAAUGACCUUGUAGGUUGUUAUUAGAGAGAUCCAAAUAUUGCAAAGAAUAUGUUGAAAACUCACCAAUGAACCCUGUGAGGUGGUUGUUGCUGAGGUGUAACUCUAACAACGAAGGCAAAGAAUAACACCAAUGUGGAAUUGUUCCAUUUAACAUGUUAUCACUCAAACCCACAUAGCUCAAUUUUGAACGUUUUGUGAUUUCAAUUGGAAUUGGCCCAACUAGUUUGUUAUAUGAUAAACCUAAAAUAGAAAGGUGAGGUAGAUGAAAAAGUGAUGAUGGAACUUGGCCUGUUAGGUUGUUAGAGGAAAGUGAUAAAUAUUCCAAUUUGAUUAAAUUUCCAUAAACAUUUGGGAUGCUAGCACUAAAGUUAUUCAAUCCAAGAUCACAAUGAAUGAGGUGUUUGAGGUUUGAAAGUAAUGGUGAGAUCUCACCGUUAAGUUUAUUAUGUGAAAGAUCCAAAUAUGUUAGUUGGGUGAGGUUCCACAAAGAUAGAGGAACCAUUCCAUCAAAAUUGCAGAAUGAAAGGACUAAUUGAGUAAGAGACUUCAAUUGACCUAUGGAAUAAGGAAUUUCACCUGAAAAAGCAGAGAAAGAGAGGACCAAGUACCUUAGAGGAGUGCUCCAGUUGGACUUUGGAAGUUGACCACUAAGGUUAUCAUUAGAUGACAAAUCCAAUCUUUGAAGAUUAGGUAAAGAGAGGAUGUCACUUGACAAAUUUCCUUGCAACUCAGUUUCUGAUAGACUAAGAGAAACCAAAGAGGAUGACAAAUUCUUUAGCAUUGACAAAGAGCUCUCUCUGAUGGAAGACAUGUUCACAUUAUCCAAAUAAAGUUCCCUUAAAUUAGUAGCAUUAUGAAUGAGUUUCUUCCAAAUGAACGAAUUGAGUUUCAAUCCCACUUCUGCGGACCAGUAACUGCUAAGAUCAAGUGAUACUAAUUUUGACAAAUGAGAGAUUGUGGAAGGAAUAUUACCACUGAGGUCAGAGUAUGAUAGAUUUAGAUGUGUGAGUUUCACUAAAUCUCCAACACCAAUAGGUAUUGAAGACCAAGAAAAAUGAUUAAAAGCCAAGUUGAGUUGUUGAAGGUGUUUAAGCUGAAAGAUGGUGCUAUUGGGAUGUAAUUCACCUUUUAGAUUGUUGCAACUGAGGUCCAGACCAAUCACGUGAUCUGACAUGGUGUCGCACGUGACACCAUCCCACUCACAACAAUCUGUACUGUUUUCCCAAGAUUCUGUCUUGAAAGAAAAAGAAGAACGCGCAAAAUAGAGUUGAGAUGAAGUGCUGACAGAAAAAGAGUUUUUGAAUUGUAACAAGGCAGAGUUGUCAUGUUUGUUGCACAGUGAGAAAGUGUAGGAAGUAAAAUGAGUAAUCAACAACAACAAGAAAAAGUGAAAGGUAAAAUAAGGCAAUGGAAUAAAAAAGGAUCCCAUUUAGAGAAACUUACACUUAAUACUCUCUUCUCAGUAUUAUUUCCUUUUUCCUUUAUGAUAUGAUUUUGGAUGUACCAAUUGAUUUCCCUCUAUUUAGUUAUUUAUAUUCAAAGAAACUAAAGCAUUGAUAUAAGAUGGGUUUGUUUUGUAGUAAGUGCUGGUGCUUAUCUUCAACCGUAUGAGGCACUCCAGUUCGAAGAUUGAUUUUUUGUGGUUGCAAUUUUUUUGUAAUGGAGUACUAAUUGACGAUAACAUUCAUUUAUUACUAAUUGACGAUAACAUUCAUUCAUUAGUAUCCAUACAAACAUUUGGUGUAUAAUUAAGUGGUGCAUAAUUAAGAUAUGUAGGGUCAACCAAACAUUUAUCAAUUUAUUUUUGAGCAAAGUAAUAUAAAAUUACUUUAACAAAUUAAUUCUAAAGUUGAAUGAAGAGUUAUCUUUAAUUUAAAUGAAAUUAAGAAAAUUAAUUGAGCCAAUGAAUGAAAGUUAUUUUGCGUAGAAAACCGAGUAAACGUUUUAGAAAUUGAGUCUUGCGGUGCUCUUGUUUGGUAGUAGCUAGGGGAUGUCUUCUUCAACCGUAUGGAGCACUCCACUGGAAAUAUUUUUUGUGGUUGCAAUUUUAGUGAUACGAUAAUUAAUUCAUUAGCAUCCAUAGAAAUAUUACAAGACUUGACUUUAGCCAAAUGAGACAAUUCCAUGAAGAAAAAUGAUAUAUUGGAACAGAUAUUAUUAUUUUUUUAAUAGAAAGAUUUUGGAACACAUAUGUGACAUCAAACAAGAGACGUCUACACAUGUCCUUUUUUAAUAUUUAAAAAAAACUUUUUUAAAAUGGUGGAGAAUUAUUGUAACACAAAAAUUAAGUUGUGAUAUUAACUUUUUUUUCACGCGCAUGGCUAGUAGACAUGUCAUACAUGGAACCAUGAUGAUCUUGAGAUUUUUGAGUAAAUGACGUGCACCCACGCCAAAGGUUGACAGACAAAUCUGUUGUACCAUAAACUCGACCACGGGUACGACCCCCUGCAGACUCGGUCCACAACCCAAGUUUUGUUCCUCCAUCAGCCUCUUGCACACCAUCUCUAGUUGUUUCAUCAAUCUGGGCUUGUACUGUACUCAAAAGGAACGAACUAUGAAGUAGUUAAAUUAUAGUCUUAACCAUUGAUUUCAAUUCAAUAGUUAUAAAUAUUGUUUCUUAGUUUUUGCUCUGUUUCUAUUGUAAAUAUUGUUUGGACUUUGCUGGUUCUUUCUUAGUACAUCUUGUGCUAGGAAAGACUCAUUGUAAAUAUUGUUUGAUUUCGUAAUAUAUUCCAUUUUAGCUUCUUCAAAAAAAUUCAAUAGUUAUAAUUUUGCAUCAUAUUCGGAGCACUCAUCAUUUUAGAGGAGCCAAAUCCAAAAAUAGUACAUAUGACCAGGUGGAGGAUCUGAUGUAUUAACAAAUUUGCUCAAGAUUUGUAUCUCACUUUCUCAAAGGAAUAGUGAUCUCAUCUUCUAACUUCACUCACUAAAUAUCUGUCAGAAUUUGUAUAGACCGUAAAGAUUUUGAACUCUUGAUUGAAGGGUGUUUCCUCACUAUGAAAGGAAGUCAUGUUGUCUUAUUACAUUUAUCAUCUGGUUCAAAAUAUUGGAUUAGCAAAAGGCAAGUAAGUUUGACUCGACCUUAAAAGGUCAAUAUGUAUAGGUAGGUGAGAAGAUUCUCUUGAUUUUUAAUAUUCUUGCCACCAAAUUAUAGGAUUUUAAUGCAUAUUAAUGGCUACUUUUUCUUUUAAUUUGUGGGGAGAAUUAUUUUUAAGACAUUUGAUUGAACAGUUUAUGUUACAUUGGUUAAAUAGGUGGUACAAAAGUACUAGUUUUCAACCAUCACAUGUGGUGUUACAUUGGCAAUUUGAUUUCCUAGCCUCGUUUGUGGCAUUCUUUAUCGAUCGAGAUGUACACCAAGUAUUCUUUAUUCAAAUGUUUUUAUUUCUUUUAAAAUGGAGCGGGGAGUGAUUUAUAUAAACAGGGGAGGUAUAAAGAAACCAGCAAAAUAGAGUGUUGAUUUUGAGUAGAUAGGUACAAUAACUUGUUAUCUAACUAGUUAUUUUGGGAAUUGUUGGAACAUUGAUGUGAUGCUUGAUGAAAAAUUAGAAGAUUAAACAUCAAGUAAUUAUACUUUGAUAUAAUGUUGUGUGAAUUGAAAAAAUAGAGUGUGGGGUCCCACAUAAAAUAGAACACACACAUAUUAGUAGUGUUUAAAUUGUGGUAUUUAAUUUUAAAUACUUGAUAAUGAUAAAAAUAAUAGUAAUUAUUAUUUUAUUCGAGAAUAUCACUUUCCAUAAAUUUAGCUUAUGGUGGUUGUGAUAAGAAUAAUAAUUUAAUUAUUAUUAUAUUUCCUUCAUUCAAAUCCAAUAGUUUUUUUCCUCCACUUUUGUGGAUUUGUUUCUUUUGAUCCUAUCCACAAGUGUUGUUGAACUGAUUAAUAGAUAAACUCCAUUUUAAUCUUAUUCAUUAGAGUAACUGUUGUCGCAAUUUUUGCUAAAACAGUUACAGAAUCUCUAUAUAAAUAGAGGACUCCACUGAAGUAGAUAAAAUAGUCACAAGGAAGGGGGGGGGGGGGGGUUUGAAUUGUGACCCUUUAAAAAUUAAACCUGUAACUUAAAAUUGAUUCUCAAGUUGAAACUUGGAAUGGUUAAGUUAAAACAGACUUCAGAACGUUCUGAUGUCUGAUUGCAAAAACAGUUUAAUAAAGUAAAUGUGUUUGUGUUUGUUGUGUAUGCAGUAAGUAAAGAGUAUAGGGAAGAGAGAAUCAACACAUAGAGAAUUUAUAGUGGUUCACCCAAUGUGGGUUAGUCCACUCCUCACAAUCUUGUGAGAGUUUCCAUUAUGAUGCUUGAGAUAACCUCUCAAAUCCUGCACCUUACAUUCCUUGUUCACCUGAACAAUUACAACAUCUGUAUUCUCUAAGCCUCAGCAGACUUGCACCUUGUUGCUAAGUUAACCACUUAGACUUUUACAAACUCAGCUCAAACUAACACUUUAGUACCUCUAAAGCUAGAUGAGAUUUGUUUUUCUUCUUGCUAAGUUACCCACUUAGACUUUUUCUCCUUCUGCUCAAACUAACACUUUAGUACCCCUAAAGCUAGAUGAGACUUUCUUUUCUUCUUGCUAAGUUACCCACUUAGACUUUUGCACCUUUAGCUCAAACUAACACUUUAGUACCCCUAAAGCUAGAUGAGACUUUACAAGAUGUUUGAAGCUUGAAUGAUUGAAAUCAGACAAGAGAAGAAAGGAAGGAAGUGUUAUCUUUAAAGAGAUAACAAAGAGUAUUGAUGUGCACUAAGGAAACAAGAACCUUAGAGAUUGAUCAAUUUCAAUUUGCAAGAGCUUCAAACAAUCAAGUUGUUUUCUUGUAUGCUUUGCAAUUUGUUGUGGAGUUUGAAUGUUUGAGAAUCAAACAGAGGAGGAGGAAGAAAGUUAUCUUUGCACGAGAUAACUAAGAGUAUUGAUUUGCAUUAAGGAAACAAAAGUCUUAGAGAUUGAUAAAUUUCAAUUUGCAAGAGCUUCAAACAAUCUUUGUUGUUUUCUUGUAUGCUUUGCAAUGGUGCAAGUUUUGCUAAUUCCUUGAUCUCUAUUUAUAGAGUCUUUGGGCUCAUAUAGCCGUUGUAGGAUGUUCAAUGGUGUUAUGCCAUGUGUCCUAGGUCCCACAAGCUUUAACUUGAAAUUCUGGGCAAACAUUCUGAUCUCUGAUGAACAUCAGAAUGUUGUUGUGUUCAUGAUGAUCUUCAUCUGGGUUCAUCAUGUAUGAAUGAACACAUGAAGUUCUGGGCUAUGCAUAUGCUUUUCAUAUGAAUUUCUGGACAAUAACCAAUGUAUGGACUUUUCUUCAUACAUCAGAAUGUUCCUUUCCCAGAUUUUGCCUUGGGUGUAACGCCCUAGUUAUUUAAUUAAUUAUUUUAUUAUGAGGAGUAUAUAUAUAUAUAUAUAUAUAUAUAUAUAUAUAUUAUUAUAUAUGAUGUUUGGUGAUUUAUGUGGAGUAUAUGCAUAUAUUUAUUCAUAUGUGAUUUUUGGAUGUUCUAUGUGGUACAUUAUUUUACUAUAUGGUUUAGUUAAUAAUAAUUAAAAUAAGUAUGAAAUAUUAGUUAUUUUGGAGUUUGGAGAGUUAUUUAAUAAUUAUUAAAAUUCAUGGGGAGCUAAUAGAAAUAUUAGGGAGUUAAGUAAUGGGAAGUUAGGAAAAGAGAAGUUAGAAGCUUUGUACGUGAAAACUGUCAAGUUGGGAGAAAGGGAGAGAAGAGCAAGUAUAACCCAGAGAAUUCAAUUGCUGUGCAUUUCUUCUGCAAUUUUAAGGUAAGGGUGGGAUUUACUUCAAGUAUGUAGUUAUUGAAUUCUGAUUUUGUGUUUAACAGAGUGUUGGUGAGAAUUUGGGAAAUUGGGUUUUUAUGAUAAAAUGAUGAUUUUGAAGUUGUAAGCAUGAUUUUGGGGUUAGAAUUAGGUUCUGGUUGCAUAGAACACUUAAUUAUGUAUCUGUAAACUGAUUUGGGGAGUGAUUGGAAGAAAAAUGGGAUUUUGGGGAAAAACCAGUUUUCUGCCCGUACUGAUGUUCAUUGCUCGCCUCGCGAGCAUUCAUGUCUCGCCUCGCGAGUGAACAACAUCAUUACUCGCCUCGCGAGCAAUCCAACUCGCCAUGGCGAGUAGCCCAGAAUAAAACUUGAUUUUUGAAAAGUUGUUAUAAGAUGUUUUGGGGAUGGUUUAAGGUACCUAGAUGAUUUUAAUGAUGAAUGGUGGAAGUUUUAGGUUAAAAAGAUGAAUAGGGAACUUAGAAAUGGAGUUUGAGUGAGAAAAUGUCACUUUUUCCCGAGAGCACCCGUUUUUCACUCGCCUCGAGUUCGCCUUGAACUCGCCAUGGCGAGAUAGGAAUUUUGUGAACUCGCCAUGGCGAGCAGAUGUGCUCGCGAGGCGAGCUAGUGCAGUUUGAGUGCAGUUUUGCUUGCUUGAUUAAUGAGGUUUGAGUGUUGUUGUUUAAGCAUAAUCGUAUUUAAUUGUGCAUCAUUAUGAAUGGUUGAAUCUCUGUUGGAUGUUGAUUGAUGAUGAGGAAUGUAUUGUAUGUUUUAAAUAUUAAUCAUACAUGUUGUUUUAAUUGGAGUCACAUGGAGUUGCAUUGCAUGGUCAGUUGUAUGUAGAUAUACACAAGUAGGUCCAUUGCAUAUGCAUAAAACAGCGGUGAGGGCUUCGGUCCUGGAGUACUAGUUACUCAACAGCGGUGAGGGCUUCGGUCCUGAUGAAUGCUUUAACCAUUCAAAAGCGGUGAGGGCCUCGGUCCUGAUUGGUACCACAUGCAUAAUUGCAUUUCAUUAAGAAGUCUAAGAUGGUGUCUUAGCAGUGGUCAUGUCAUUUGCAUGGGUCUCGGUUGUUAUUUCAGUUAUUACCUGGUUGAUGUUGAUGUUGGAUAUACAUUCAUAUAUAUAUGUAUUCAUUGUGGUUUUGGUGUAUUGUUGAUGUUGUUGAAGUUAUGUACAUUGUAUACAUACCUGUUAAAUGGAUGAUUAUGAUGAUGUUGCUGUGUCUUGUGAAUAGUUAUGAAUAUUACAAAAUGUUAUAUUUGAAGUUAUAGGGUGUUAGAUUCAUUUGAAGAUUUAAUAUCUAUAUUGUUGUUGUGAAUCUCACCCCUUCUGCUUGAAAACGUUGCCCUUCCUAUGGGUAACUUGCAGGUGAUCCUGAGUAGUUGGUGGUGGCUCAUUGUCGUGUCUAGGGCUCUGAUACGUGGGAUGGGAAUAUUGAUUAUCUUUGUUGUUGUUGCUUUUCCUUUCCAUGUAUCAAAUUUUGGAACUUGUGGUGUGGAGCCUUUUGUUGUCUUUGAACUAUGAUGUUGGAUUAUGUUAAGGCCUUUAAUGCCAUAGACUUUUGUUGGAUGUUCAUGAUGAGAUGGAUUUUGAAAACUAUUCCGCUGCUAUGUUUUCAUUUAUAAUAAGUUGAUUCGAUUUAAAUAGUUUUAUUUUCUAUUUAAGAAUUUUGAAAUGACGUGUAGCAUGCCCGUUGCGGGAUUACUCUGAUGUUUAUAUGCUAUUUAAUUGCUUUUGGGUAACGGGGUGUUACAAUUUGGUAUCAGAGCAGGUUGGUCCGUCCGGCCAAGUAGUAGAGUCUUGUUGAGCCACCUAGGAUAGAGUGUCAACUUUAAUGUUGCUUUUUGUUGUUGUCUUGUUGUUUGUUUGUUGUGUCUUGGUAUGAACUGGUUGGAGAAUAAUCAUGUUCAUAUCAAUUGGUUUAGUAAGACGGUGUACUUUACUUCUGCCGGAGAAGAGAGUAAAGCUGAGUUUGUGACUACGAAGCAGUUGUAGGAGUUGUUGAAUGAAGGUACUUCAGUGGUUGCUUUGACGACGUCUUUGUCGGUAGAAAAUCAAGCUGUGAUUGAUGGUUUACCUGUAGUGAAUGAAUUUCCAGAAGUAUUCCCUGAUGAGAUUCCUGAUGUGCCACCAGAGAGGGAGGUUGAAUUUUCAAUUGAUCUUGUUCCAGGAACUAAGCCGGUGUCGAUGGCACCGUACCGUAUGUCAGCUUCUGAGUUGGCUGAGUUGAAGAAACAGUUGGAGGACCUGUUAGAUAAGAAGUUUGUAAGACCCAGUGUUUCACCUUGGGGAGCACCGGUGUUGUUGGUCAAGAAGAAGGAUGGUAGUAUGAGACUGUGUAUAGAUUACCGUCAGUUGAACAAAGUUACGAUCAAGAACAGGUAUCCGCUUCCUAGAAUUGACGACUUGAUGGAUCAAUUGGUUGGUGCUAAGAUUUUUAGUAAGAUUGAUUUGAGGUCUGGUUAUCAUCAGAUAAAGGUGAAGGAUGAGGAUAUGCAGAAGACGGCCUUUAGGACACGUUAUGGUCAUUACGAGUACAAAGUGAUGCCUUUCGGUGUUACUAAUGCGCCUGGUGUUUUUAUGGAAUACAUGAAUCGAAUUUUCCAUGCCUUUCUGGAUAAGUUUGUUGUGGUAUUUAUUGAUGAUAUUCUAAUCUAUUCCAAGAAUGAGGAGGAACACGCAGAGCAUCUGAGAAUAGUGUUGCAAGUGUUGAAGGAAAAGAGGUUGUAUGCUAAGUUAUCAAAAUGUGAGUUCUGGUUAAAUGAAGUAAGUUUUCUGGGUCACAUUAUUUAUGGUAGUGGUAUUGCAGUGGAUCCUUCAAAGGUUGAUGCGGUAUCACAAUGGGAGACUCCGAAGUCGGUAACUGAGAUCAGAAGUUUUCUGGGUUUGGAUGGUUAUUACUGCAGGUUCAUAGAAGGGUUUUCGAAGUUGGCUCUUCCGUUGACACAGUUGACCUGUAAGGGUAAGUCUUUUGUGUGGGAUGCCCAGUGUGAGAGUAGUUUCAAUGAGUUGAAGCGAAGAUUGACAACUGCUCCUGUUUUGAUUUUGCCUAAACCAGAAGAACCGUUUGUUGUAUACUGUGAUGCAUCUAAGCUGGGCUUAGGUGGUGUUUUGAUGCAAGAUGGUAAGGUGGUAGCAUAUGCUUCUAGGCAGUUACGUGUUCAUGAGAAGAAUUAUCCUACACAUGACCUGGAGUUAGCUGCGGUGGUUUUUGUUUUGAAAAUUUGGAGGCAUUAUUUGUACGGAUCCAGAUUUGAGGUGUUCAGUGAUCAUAAAAGUUUGAAGUAUUUGUUUGACCAGAAGGAACUGAACAUGAGGCAGAGGAGGUGGUUAGAGUUAUUGAAGGAUUUUGAUUUUGGCUUGAAUUACCAUCCUGGUAAGGCCAAUGUGGUUGCUGACGCUUUAAGUAGGAAAACUUUGCACGUGUCUGCUUUGAUGGUGAAGGAGUUUGAAUUGUUAGAACAGUUCAGAGACAUGAGUCUUGUCUGUGAAUUGUCACCCCAGAGUAUACAGUUGGGAAUGUUGAAAAUUGAUAGUAACUUCUUAAACAGUAUCCGAGAAGCUCAGAAAGAGGAUUUGAAGUUUGUUGAUUUGAUGACUUCUGGUAAUGACACUGAGGAUAGUGAUUUCAAAGUUGAUGAUCAGGGUGUACUGAGGUUCAGAGGUAGAGUUUGUAUUCCUGACAACGAAGAGUUGAAGAAAUUGAUUCUUGAGGAGAGUCACAAGAGUAGGUUGAGUAUUCACCCAGGAGCUACGAAAAUGUACCAUGAUUUGAAGAAACUGUUUUGGUGGUCCGGUAUGAAAAGGGAUGUUGCUCAGUUUGUUUAUGCCUGUUUGGUUUGUCAGAAGUCCAAGGUUGAGCAUCAGAAGCCUGCAGGGUUGUUGACACCGUUAGAUGUACCAGAGUGGAAGUGGGACAUUAUCUCUAUGGAUUUUGUAACGAGUUUACCGAACACUCCGAGAGGGCAUGACGCUAUUUGGGUUGUUGUCGACCGGUUGACAAAGUCGGCACAUUUCAUUCCUAUUAAUAUCAGUUAUCCGGUAGCGCAGUUAGCAGAGAUUUAUAUUCACAGUGUGGUGAAGCUUCAUGGUGUUCCGUGUAACACCCCGUUUUCCCAACAUAAAAAUUCUUAAAAACAUUUAUCAGAGUAAGCAUCAUAAACAACGGGAUAUCACAUAAAACUUAAUCCAAAACAGUCAAAUAAUAAUUUAACCAAUAUCUUAAACAUUGCAGCGGAAAUUCAUAAAACGUUUUGGCACGCAGGCCCCAUCAAAAGUUCAUAAUCAUAAUCCAUAACAUUAUAAAAAUAACAUAUUAGUCACGUAAGAGAAUGAAGCAUGCAUAAACAUAAACCCCAUCCCGUUACGUAUCAGAGCGACCUAGACGACACAGUGAAGGCAAGGCCACUCACGACGGCAACUGCACACUAAGCACGAUCACCUGCAAGUUACCCAUACGAAGGGCAACAUUUUCAAGCAGAAGGGGUGAGAUUUCAUAAUACAAUAACAUUAAUCAAUGUAAUUGAGAAUCAUAAAUUAACAUCAUAUUCAUUCCAUUACUAACUUUGCAUAAUUGCUAAACAGUUAUCACGUAAUCAUAUAUCCAAUCAUUAGGAAUAACAUAUCAUAAUCAAUAAACACAUAUCACGUAAUCACAUAAUCAAUCAUCAUCAACAAGGCAUCUUAAUCAUGACACUGUGACAAUGCUCUUAGACUCCUUAUAUGCAUGUGGUACCAAUCGUCAUCAUAAGUAUUAAUAUACUUUAAUCGUGCGGAGGACAAAGCUCCUAUAAAACGUGCGGAGGACAAAGCUCCUAAUAUUCGUGGUGAGGACUAAGCUCAAUGAUAUGCUAUGCAUGGACACUUAUGAACAAAACACGUAAUCAUCGUAAUCAACAUGCAUCCAAUAAUUUGGAGCUAAACCUUAUCAUAUACAUAUGCACUUAGUUAAAUAACAGAAGCAGCAUAAACAAGUCACACAGCAAGAUGAUAUCAUUAUAUCAAUAGCACAUAAAUUGCAUUAUUAUCAAACCUUCGUAUCUUGCAUGAAUAUACAAUACAUUAGAUCAUACUCAAUUAAUAUCAAUAUAGUCUUAAACAACUCUACAGGCUGCAUUAAACGUCAUCACUAGGUCUCAAUACCAAUUAGGGGUUCACUCUUGAUCAACACAUGCGACACAGAUCGCACAAACACUCAAGCAACUACAUUCUGGUUGUACUCGCGAGGCGAGAGUACUUACUCGCCAUGGCGAGUAACACUGAUUCUCCCAAACUGAUGUUGUUCUGGGUUCAAUCCUGUCCUAAAAUCAUUCCUAAUCAAUACUAGGUAUGUUAUGGUACUCAAAGGCAUACAAGGUUCAACUAAAAAGGUCGAAACACGAAAUAUGACAUGCUCUCUGCCUAAGCUCGCGAGGCGAGGAAAGGUUGCUCGCCAUGGCGAGUUGCACCAGACAACUCGCGAGGUGAAGGGGAAAGGCUCGCGUGGCGAGCGAUGAAUCUUCAUCACUCGCGGGGCGAGGAUCAUAGCUCGCCGUGGCGAGCGAUGAAUGUCGCUACGGCCAGGCUUCCUAAAAUCACAAAAAUCCGACGUUUCACAUGGUUCUAAGCUUGGUUUUGAUUCCAGAAUUCAUCCUAAACAUAUUCUAAGGUUACAGGACAAUUCUUACAUCAAUCUAAACAAGUUUUACCGUUUAUUCUCAAAUUCUAGGGUUUUGACCUAAUUCCAAAACUUCUCUGAAUCAAUCCUAACUUGUCAACUAAUCAUCAGAAUUACAGAGGUUAAUGCUACUGAGUUAUUAGUCCCACCCUUACCUGGUUAUGAAGAAAAUCGCAGCCCUCUUGGUCUCUUGCUCCUCUCUAAGCUUUUUCUCCCUUUUCCAAAAGUUUUCACGUACAAUCAGUUUUUCUAACAAUUAGGUCUUCCCUAUUUAUAUCUCUUCCUAAUUACUUAUCUUAUCUCAAUUUCUCCCCCAAAACUAUCUAAAAUAUCAAAACAGCCCUCAACUAAAUAUUUUAUAUUAUUUUCAAAUCUUUAUUCUAUUUAUCAAUAAAAUAAAUCUCAUAUCAUAAUCAAAUCCUCCAAAACUCAUAACUUAUCACGUCAUCAAUCAUAUCAUCAAAACAUAUCAAAAUCAUGCAUAUAUUAUAUAAUUAUAAUAUAAUUGCCUAAACUCGAUUAAAUAACUAUUAAACGAAAGUGGGCGUUACAUUCCGUCUAGCAUUGUGUCGGAUAGAGAUCCGAGGUUCACUUCUAGGUUCUGGAAAAUUUUACAGGACGCCUUGGGUUCGAAGUUGAAGUUGAGUUCGGCUUAUCAUCCUCAAACAGAUGGUCAGUCGGAGAGGACAAUUCAAUCAUUGGAAGAUUUGUUGAGAGUGUGUGUGCUUGAGCAAGGUGGAGCUUGGGAUAGUCACUUGCCUUUGAUUGAGUUUACUUAUAACAACAGCUAUCACUCGAGUAUUGGUAUGGCACUGUUCGAAGCCUUGUAUGGUCGGAGGUGCAGGACUCCUUUAUGCUGGUUUGAGUCGGGUGAAAGUGUUGUGUUGGGACCGGAUUUGGUACAUGAGACUACUGAGAAAGUAAGGUUGAUAAGAGAAAAGAUGAAAGCUUCGCAGAGUCGACAGAACAGUUACCAUGACAAGCGAAGAAAGGAUCUUGAGUUUCAGGAGGGUGAUCAUGUUUUUUCUGAGGGUCACUCCUUUGACGGGUGUUGGACGUGCUUUGAAGUCGAGGAAGUUGACUCCUAAGUUUAUUGGUCCGUAUCAGAUUUCUGAGAGAGUUGGUACUGUGGCAUAUAGAGUUGGUUUGCCACCACAUCUUUCGAACUUGCACGAUGUGUUUCAUGUUUCUCAGCUUCGGAAGUAUGUUGCGGAUCCUUCUCAUGUGAUUCCGAGGGAUGAUGAUGUACAGGUUAGAGACAACCUGACAGUUGAGACUAUGCCAUUGAGGAUUGAUGACAGGAAGGUGAAGUCCUUGAGAGGUAAAGAAAUACCUCUUGUGAGAGUCGUUUGGGGUGGAGCGACUGGUGAAAGUUUGACUUGGGAGCUGGAGAGUAAGAUGCGGGAGUCGUAUCCGGAGUUGCUUGCUUGAGGUAAGAUUUCAAGGACGAAAUUCUGUAAUUUGGGGAGAGUUGUAACGCCCUAGUUAUUUAAUUAAUUAUUUUAUUAUGAGGAGUAUAUAUAUAUAUAUAUAUAUAUAUAUAUAUAUAUAUUAUUAUAUAUGAUGUUUGGUGAUUUAUGUGGAGUAUAUGCAUAUAUUUAUUCAUAUGUGAUUUUUGGAUGUUCUAUGUGGUACAUUAUUUUACUAUAUGGUUUAGUUAAUAAUAAUUAAAAUAAGUAUGAAAUAUUAGUUAUUUUGGAGUUUGGAGAGUUAUUUAAUAAUUAUUAAAAUUCAUGGGGAGCUAAUAGAAAUAUUAGGGAGUUAAGUAAUGGGAAGUUAGGAAAAGAGAAGUUAGAAGCUUUGUACGUGAAAACUGUCAAGUUGGGAGAAAGGGAGAGAAGAGCAAGUAUAACCCAGAGAAUUCAAUUGCUGUGCAUUUCUUCUGCAAUUUUAAGGUAAGGGUGGGAUUUACUUCAAGUAUGUAGUUAUUGAAUUCUGAUUUUGUGUUUAACAGAGUGUUGGUGAGAAUUUGGGAAAUUGAGUUUUUAUGAUAAAAUGAUGAUUUUGAAGUUGUAAGCAUGAUUUUGGGGUUAGAAUUAGGUUCUGGUUGCAUAGAACACUUAAUUAUGUAUCUGUAAACUGAUUUGGGGAGUGAUUGGAAGAAAAAUGGGAUUUUGGGGAAAAACCAGUUUUCUGCCCGUACUGAUGUUCAUUGCUCGCCUCGCGAGCAUUCAUGUCUCGCCUCGCGAGUGAACAACAUCAUUACUCGCCUCGCGAGCAAUCCAACUCGCCAUGGCGAGUAGCCCAGAAUAAAACUUGAUUUUUGAAAAGUUGUUAUAAGAUGUUUUGGGGAUGGUUUAAGGUACCUAGAUGAUUUUAAUGAUGAAUGGUGGAAGUUUUAGGUUAAAAAGAUGAAUAGGGAACUUAGAAAUGGAGUUUGAGUGAGAAAAUGUCACUUUUUCCCGAGAGCACCCGUUUUUCACUCGCCUCGAGUUCGCCUUGAACUCGCCAUGGCGAGAUAGGAAUUUUGUGAACUCGCCAUGGCGAGCAGAUGUGCUCGCGAGGCGAGCUAGUGCAGUUUGAGUGCAGUUUUGCUUGCUUGAUUAAUGAGGUUUGAGUGUUGUUGUUUAAGCAUAAUCGUAUUUAAUUGUGCAUCAUUCUGAAUGGUUGAAUCUCUGUUGGAUGUUGAUUGAUGAUGAGGAAUGUAUUGUAUGUUUUAAAUAUUAAUCAUACAUGUUGUUUUAAUUGGAGUCACAUGGAGUUGCAUUGCAUGGUCAGUUGUAUGUAGAUAUACACAAGUAGGUCCAUUGCAUAUGCAUAAAACAGCGGUGAGGGCUUCGGUCCUGGAGUACUAGUUACUCAACAGCGGUGAGGGCUUCGGUCCUGAUGAAUGCUUUAACCAUUCAAAAGCGGUGAGGGCCUCGGUCCUGAUUGGUACCACAUGCAUAAUUGCAUUUCAUUAAGAAGUCUAAGAUGGUGUCUUAGCAGUGGUCAUGUCAUUUGCAUGGGUCUCGGUUGUUAUUUCAGUUAUUACCUGGUUGAUGUUGAUGUUGGAUAUACAUUCAUAUAUAUAUGUAUUCAUUGUGGUUUUGGUGUAUUGUUGAUGUUGUUGAAGUUAUGUACAUUGUAUACAUACCUGUUAAAUGGAUGAUUAUGAUGAUGUUGCUGUGUCUUGUGAAUAGUUAUGAAUAUUACAAAAUGUUAUAUUUGAAGUUAUAGGGUGUUAGAUUCAUUUGAAGAUUUAAUAUCUAUAUUGUUGUUGUGAAUCUCACCCCUUCUGCUUGAAAACGUUGUCCUUCCUAUGGGUAACUUGCAGGUGAUCCUGAGUAGUUGGUGGUGGCUCAUUGUCGUGUCUAGGGCUCUGAUACGUGGGAUGAGAAUAUUGAUUAUCUUUGUUGUUGUUGCUUUUCCUUUCCAUGUAUCAAAUUUUGGAACUUGUGGUGUGGAGCCUUUUGUUGUCUUUGAACUAUGAUGUUGGAUUAUGUUAAGGCCUUUAAUGCCAUAGACUUUUGUUGGAUGUUCAUGAUGAGAUGGAUUUUGAAAACUAUUCCGCUGCUAUGUUUUCAUUUAUAAUAAGUUGAUUCGAUUUAAAUAGUUUUAUUUUCUAUUUAAGAAUUUUGAAAUGACGUGUAGCAUGCCCGUUGCGGGAUUACUCUGAUGUUUAUAUGCUAUUUAAUUGCUUUUGGGUAACGGGGUGUUACAUUGGGACCGGUGCAGGAAGAUAUAGUGGGAUUCUGCAUCUUCAUGCCCAUGCUUUGAGGGAUUGUGUGGUCCUUGUACUGUACCAACUCCCAUAUGUGUCUAUCUCUUAUUGAUCAAGACAGAUUUGCUUUUUGCUUUUCACCUACUGUACUGUUCAUAAAGUAAGCAUGUGCUGAGCUGAACAUUCUGACCAUCAGAAUGUUUAAUAUUCAUAAUGUUCUUCAUCUGGGUUCAUCAAGGAUGAAUGUCUGAUGAGUUUCUGGGUCCAUCCAAUACGUGACAUGAGAUUUGUUCAAGUUUUAUCCUUCAAAAGUUACUUCUCCAUUGCAUCAAAAGUUGCUUGAAAAAGUAGGAUAAAGUUGAUUAAAUCUGUCUUGGAUUUGGUGCAGGAAAGAGAGGAUAGUGGAUCUGCAAUCUUCAGGCCCAUGCUUCAAGGAGAUUUGCUUGAUUCAUCUCAGAGUACACGUUAUCUUUGAUGCAAGAUCUCUUUUGCUAGCUUUUCCAUCUUUCCACCAACUACACUGUUCAUGGCUGGAAGCAUGUGCAGAAGUGAACAUUCUGAUCUCAGAAUGUUCCAUUUGUUCUUACUUUAGGUUGAUUUAUAAGACUUAACUUUUAAUGUAAUCAAACCUAAUAGUAAGAUACAACUGAAGUGCAGUGAAUGCAUCAUCUAGGACAAUAUUCUCUUUGGAAUAUUCCUAGUACUUUAAUGUUCAUAGUCUUGGAUGAACAUUAAAGAUCCUUUUGACAUAGAUCCUUGUCCAUGCCUUUAUUUGUUGAUAGAUCCAUGCAGAUGUACUUUUCUGGACCUUUUAUUCAUGUCAAGUGUACUUGCAUGCUCUUCACGUUCUUGAUGAAUCUGGGUAGCUUCUGAACAACCUUCUGAACUGGGUUGCUUCUGAACUCUCAUCAGAACGUUCUGAUCAACUCUCUGAUCAACAUUCUGAACUAACUUUCUGAACUUCAGAAUUAGUUCAUGGAUUCAAUGUCCUUUGAUUUUAUGCAUCUUGGUAUGAUUCAAACCUUGUUCUUGUCUUAGUGAAAACACUCAAGAGCACAAGUUAAAUACCAAGGAAUUAAUCAAAGUCCAUUUAAUCCUUAAUCAUUAAAGUUUAUUAUCUUUAAAAUUAAUUAGGGAUUUUGCCUCAACAUCCACUUAAUUCAAAAACACACUGAAAUUCACAGUUGACGUUCCUGUGUUUUUCAUCUCUUCUCCUUCCUUCGACUUGUGUUGACAAGUCCUUCUCCUUUUUCUACUCCUUUCUGUCCCUUUGGAAAUAAGAGUGUUCUUAAGACCAUAGUCCCUUUUCGGUUUAAUGUCCCUUCGGAAUUAAGAAUGGUCUUGAAACAUAGUCCAUUCGAUAAUAUAUGUCCCUUCAGAAUAAAGAGUACUUUUAAGAUCAUAGUCCCUAUUUGGAAUAACAAUGUCCCGUCGGAAUUAAGAAUGAUCUUAACGGUAUAUAUAAAAAGUAUUUCAAUAUUUUUCUAUUUGAGGAGAAAUGGUGGUAUCACCAUAUUUAAGUGGUCGUAGUACCAUAUUGAUAGUUUAGAGAACUUAAAGUUAGAAUGAUAUUAACACCAUAUUUGAGUGGUCUCAACAUUUGUAGCAGUGCUUGUUUUAUCCUGGAGGUGGCGUGGUUGAUAGUCUGCCUUGCACAAUUUUGGACAAUUUCGUGACUCAACCUAAUACAACUUCGGUAGAUAAUAGAAUUUGGAAAUCCAAAUACAACAAUUUGAAAAUCCAAAAACAACAUAAAUGUAGUUAAACUUAUUAUUUUCAUAUAGUACUAAGUUGUUUUCAUUAGCCGUCAUUGGAAGCUUGCAGAAAUAAGCUAUAAAUAGCUUAUGGACAUCAUGCCAUGUUAUAAGUCCUCCUUAAUACUUAAAUGAUCACUUAUGUCAUAAGGUAAACCUAAAUAAACUGUAAACUAUAUAUCAUUUUCAGUGUAGUUCCUAGUUUCAUCAUUAUUGGUGUAUUGGAUUACAGUUGGAUGCGGUCAAUUUGGUUCUGUUUGGACUUAAUGCUAUCUUAAGUAAAUUAGUCUAAUCUAGUAAUUUAAUUGUUAAAGAAGUGCAUUGUGCAUGAUAUGUUGUGUUGUCAUGAUAUGCUAUGCCUAUUUCAUAGUGCAUGUAAGACUUGCAACAAGAAAGUUACCGAAAGCACGGGUCAGAAUUGCUAUAUGCUCAGAAUGGGGCAGAAGUGUCUUCUUAAGCUACUUAGAGGCAACCUGAGCUUGAUUGAAGCAAGGAGCAAUAUUUAGGAAGCAGGUAAUGUUUUAUGCUCUUGAAAUUGCAAUCACAAGUUUGAAGUCGUGAUUGUUGUAUUUAUUUGUUGAUUGAUUUCGAAAUUCAUGCUGCAGGCACGUGAGAAGUUUAUGUCAUUGAGAAAAAGCACUAAGUUUGAUGAUGCCACUGCCACAGAUGAGGGAAGUCCAGUGGCUCAUAUUUGGCAUAGUUUUGACUCUAGGUUCAUGUCAAAAUAGGAAGCUUGUUUCAAUAUGGUAAUAUUAGUGGACUGUAUCAUUGAAUAUUCUGUGAUUUUUUUUCUAUAAUUUUUAUUUUUAUGGUUCUGAAAUACAUUAUUUUUUUUAAAUAAAUAAACCAAUUUUUUGCCGAAUUACCAACGGAUUGGUGUUCUAUUUUAACGUUUCAUCGCGCUUACGGGCAAGAGGACUCCUCAAAACCUGACCGAAUGUUUACUGAGAUUUUUUCACUUUUUUUGCGGAUGUACUUUUCUUGCAGAUCCUAAAAUCCUAAUGGGUGUUUGGAUUGAGGGUUUAGGAGGGGAGGUGGACCGUCAAUAUAUUCCUAAGGGUCUAAAAGCUAUCUAGAAAGGCUCAGGCAUCCUCCGGGAGGGCUCCUAAAGUCUAGGCGCCGCCUUAUCCAACUUCUAGAAACACCUAGAACUGGGUGAAAAGACCCAAAGCCCAACUUAAUUAGGGCUUAAGUCACACUAUAACCAGCCCACAAAGGGCUAUAAAUACCACUAUUGAGAUCAUUCUUAAGGCAUCACAUAAACAGAAAGGGAGAUGAUAGUUUACUUUUCGUUUUUAAAUUAUGGACUAUAUAAAAGUUUUUUAAAAAUAAAUUAUGUGUGAUUGAAGUAUUAUAUGAUCGUUUAUCAUGUUAAUAUGUUAACUUUUUAUAAAACAUUUCAGUGUCUGUAGUUUAAAAAUGAAAAGUAAACCAUCCUCUCCCUUUCCCUCGUAAACCCUCCAUCCAAACACACCCUAAGGAAACAACUACCCACGAAGGUAUUACCUGGGAAUCAAAAUCCUUAGCAAAAUCUGUAGGAGACCCUUUUCUUGCGGAAUUUGUACCAAAAUUCGUAGAAAAAUCGAGAAUUUAUAGUAGUAUAAGUAUAUGUACAUGGAGUACAAUUUUAGACAUCCGCAACAUGCUUUACACAUAAAUAUACACAUAAGUUCAUUGUCAAAUGUCACAGUAAAUAAGUCAAAGGUCACAGUAAAUAACAAGUUUCAUGUUGACAAAGGGACAGGGGCGGAGCCACCCCCUCAGCUCCAAUUUUCUUUCUAGCAAGUCCAGCUAUUACUAGAACUUUUAUCUUUUCCUGCGGAGUUACCUGCGAAUUGUUAUGUAAAUUUCAUAGGAAACACAUUUCCUGUAGAUUCCGCAGGAAAUGUGAAAUUAUUCGCAGGAAGGAAGUAACAUUUUGCAAUAAUUUUUUUGCCCAGGCUCUAUAAAAUUUCUGGCUCCACCACUGGAGACACCAAUAUAUCUAAUUGUUACGGUUAACAUUAAAAAAUGGGUUCUUUUUCAAAAAACAUUAAAAAAAUGGGUUAAAUAAUGUUUUACUCCCGAUAUUUGAGCGAGUUUUGAAAAAAUCCCUGUAAAAUAAUUUUUUAUAGAUCCCCUUUGUAAUUUAAAAAGGAGAAAACUUAGGUACAAUUCAUUCCGUGCUUUUUGUACGGUUCUUAACUAAAUUCACCAUGACUUCCUCAAAUUCAUAAUUUUCUCAAAGUUUGUUAUAACAAAAAAAUAUGUAUUUUUAGUCAAGAACCAUACAAAAAGCAGAAUUGUACCUAAGUUUUCUCCAUUUAAAAAUUCCAUCUAAAACAACUUUGACCUCAGCUGACUAGGCAACUAAACUAAUGUGGCACGCUGACUGGACAAAUUAGUUUAUCUUUCAAUUUUUUUAAAAUCCAUCUCACAUUUUUGAAAAAAAAUUAAAAUGAAAAUUAGAUUAUUAUUAUAAAACAAAAGGAAGAAUCGCAAAACCUAAUGUGCUUUUUCAUUAACUAAAGCACAUUAAUGCACUUCAUUCCCCCCCUAAUGUUUUUAACUAAAGUCAAAACCUAAUGAAAAACAUUAAUCGCAAAACCUAAUGAAAAACAUUAAUCGCAAAACCUAAUGUUCUUAACUAAAGUCAAAACCUUUGCUCAAAAAAAACUAAAGUCAAAACCUAAAGUACUUCUUCAGAAUAGCAAAACAUUUUUUUUUAUCCCCUUCUAAAACCUAAAUAAAUAACUAGAAAAAAAAAAAAGGAAAAUAGAAGAAGAACUGACGGAAGAAAAAGAAAGAUGCAAGAAGGAAGAAGAAGAAUCGACGGAAGAAGGAAAACGAGGGUUAGGCUUUACAUAAACUCCAUAUUUGCAUGAUAACCUAUGUGGAACAUACUUUAUUAAUGAUACCCUUCUUAAAACAGCGUUAUAUGCUUGCUGAGAGUACUAAAGAAUUAGUGGAAACAAGGAAGAGUAAGAAAGGAUUAUGUUGUACCAAAUCCUCACUAGUUAAUUUGAUGAGGUCAAUGCUGUUUUUUAUGGAGAGAAAAAAAAUGAAAGGGGGAUCUAAAUUUUUUAUUUCACAGGGGUUUUCAGAAAGGGAGAAAACAUUAAUUAACCCCUUAUAUUCAAACCAAAAAUUUUAGAGGCUGGAAGAUCUUGGUGUGUGUGAUUUGAAUCUGCUUCAUUUGCAAAAAUGUUGGGCUGAAAAACAAAAAUUGUUUCAUGUUUGAUCUGAAGACUGAAGAUUGUUUAGGACACAAGACACAAAUGAGACAGGACAAAAAUAAGGGUCUUUGUGAGAAAUAGCAAAUCAUUAUUGAGAAGAAUAAAUUAAAAUUCAACUUUAAGAGAAAUAAAUCGACACAAUUUUCAAUAUAGAAAUUCUAAUUUUAGUACAUUAACAUGUGCCCUAAAAAUAAACAAUUAUUUAGUGCCACACCAACACUUCUCAACACUUUCUGAUCAAUUGAAAUUUAAAUGGGUCUAUGUUUAUGCCGGGUUUAUAUUAUUUAGUGAGAUACAUUUAAUUUUUAUUCGAUUAGAGUGUGUUAAAGCGAGUGUUUGAAAGUGAGUUGAUAACAAUUUUAAAAUCUAAUACUCCGGUCUUAAAUUUAAGCAAAAAAAUUCUCUUAUCAGAAUUCAUAUUAAUUGAAUAACUGAUUAGAUAAGUUAUUCAAUGAACGUGAAAAAAAAAUCUUUUUUUUUUUUGUGUCCAGUAGUCUAGUGGCUAUAGCUCACACAAUUAAAUGUGGAUAAGUGGGGUGUCUGGAGUUCGAACCUCGGCCUCUGCAUAAAUUAUGCAAUGUCCCUGCCAAUGUGAGAAAAAAAAAAUCCCUUAAUAAAUAAAUAAAUAACAUAAAUGCACCAUUUAGCAAGCUAGAGGAUUGGUAUUCUUUUUUAUCAUCUACGGACCCAGGAAAAGAUGUCUUGUUUCUCUAUUUCAUAUGUUAAACUUCAUAAUAGAUACGAAUAACUUCACAUGGGAUUCGAAUCCACUUGAGUUGGUUUGAUCAUGUUGGUUUGAGACAUUGUAGUGUGAUGAUCCUCUCAAAGGUCUUAAAUUCGAUUCACUCUGAUGUCAAUUUCGAUGGAUUAGAUUGACUUAAAAAAACUUCAUAUUGGAUCUAGUGUAGUUUAUAGACCGUUGAACUUCACUAAUUAACGCAUUCCACUGUCAACAUACUCCAUCCGUCUCUAAAUAUAAGUAAAUUUUACUUUUUAAGUUCAUUCAAUUAAUGAUGUAUGUGGUUCAUAAUAUAAACUACAUACAUUAUUAAUUGAAUGAAUCUAAAAAAUAAAAUUUGCUUAUAUAAAAAACAGAGCACAUUAUAAAUGACAUACAUUACAGGUCUUCUUCGAUAAAAAGCAAAAGCCGUUGAUAAUAACUGCCCGUUUGAUGUCUACAUGUGAUUGGCAACAAGUUGGUACUAGUUUUGUUGAUUUUGUCCAAAAAAAAAUUCUAUGAUUGUACAUAUAUACUUUUUAUUUUUUUUUGUCACAAAUAGAGUUUAUAGUUCAAAUUUAUAUCAUUAUAUAAUGAAAACUGUAAAUUAACUACCGUUGGUAAUCAAUUUUGAUCGAAUUUUUUUUAUAGACAAAUAUACUCUUAACAUUUUAAUUAACUUUUUUAAAUUUAAUUUUUCAAUAGGCCGAACCGGUCUACUGAAAUUUGUGUUGGAGAUAAUUGAAUUUUGGACUUUGAAAGAAGUAAACUGCAAUAUUUUAAGUCAAUCACCAUAGGAGUCAAAAAAUUAACUACUAAUUUUAGUCAAUCUUUUUCAAAAAGUUUUCUUUUUGCAAUAUAAUUUUUUUUUAAAAUUCAAAUUUGUAUUAAAAAAAACAUGAAUAUAUCCUGUCAUUUUUAUUUACUCAUUAUAUUAUAUUAUAUAAAUAAUAUAUCAAUAAAAAAAAAAUAGUGUGUCUUUUCCGUUAUGGAUUUCCUGGAACAUAUCGUCGUAUUUUCAAUGAGUUCGUAUGGAAAGUAUUCAGUCCCUCAUGCUACAAGCUCACCCUAACCCAAUUUUUUUUCCCCUUUUUAUCUGCAAGGUUUGGUGGUUUGAGGGUUAUUUUUGUUGUAUUUGUUGCUCAUUUAUUUGUAGUGAUAGGGAUUUUCAAUUCUGAUUGUGGAAAUUUUUGUCUAUUGUUGUUUUGUUGGUUGACUGAUUGUUUAUCGAGUAGAUAGUCAUUUGGAUUCUGAAUGUGGAAGACACUGUUACUACCAUCUUCGUUUGAAUGUAUCAAAAUUAGAAAAACAUCUCCAAAUAUAUAUUUCGUUAGUUGGUUUGAUUCUUUGAAGUGUCGUUUGUUAAUAAGUUAAGUCCUUGAAUGUGUUGUCCACUAUGAAGCUCGAAUACGUAGUGCGGGUGGGAGGUGUGAUAUAUGAUACAAAUGCGUGAUUUUUUUUUUUUUUUUUUUAAAUUUAGAAUAUGAUACGAGCUAGAUAUGUUAACAAGUGAUUCUGAUGAUGAUGUAAGUUUUAUCCCUUUUUAUCUGCGAGAUAGGUUUGGUACUUUGAGUGUAUGCAUUUAUGAGGUCUCUUUUUGUUAUAUUUGUUGCUCAGUUGCUUGUAGUGAUAGAGAUUUUCAACGCUGAUCUAGUAGCUUUUUGUAGCAAUUUUUGUUUGUUUCGUUUUGUUGGUUGACUGAUUGUUUAUUGAGUAAAUAGCCAUCUGGGUCCAUGAAUGUGUUGGGCGUUUUACACCGUCCUUGAAUUUUCAAAAUUACAAUUGCAAAAAAUCCUCAAAUAUAUCUUUCGUUUGGCGUUUUGAUCCUCAAACGUGUCUUUUGUUUGUGAAUAUGGUCGUUGAAUGUAUCGAACAUUAAUCGAGAGUUGAGACACAUUUAUGGAUGUUUAUAUAAAUUUGAUACAGUCAAGGACUUUAGCGAUACGGUCUCGCUCAUUUGAGAACCAAAAUGACUGUUUACUCUUUGUUUAUCCUCAUUAUUUAUCUGUUUAUGGUUUUUGUUGAAUUUGGCUUCAAAUUUGUGGUCUGGAAGAACAGAGUAAUCGUGACACGAUUUGGUAAUCGUGACACGAUCUGAGAUGCCGUGAGCCAAGUUUUGAUGGAGGCAAAUCGUGGCACGAUCUUGGGAAAUUGUGACACGAUCUAGAAACUUGCUGGUUAAGUAUCUCUGAUAAGGACUGGUUAACCAGAGGACCGUUGCAGAUCGUGACACGAUCUAGGGAAAUCAUGGCACGAUUUCUUCAGGGCAGGACUAGUAUAUAUUGUGUUCUUGUGCUUUUUUGAAGAGAACCUUAAGAUGGCUUAAGAGAGAAAACUUGGAGAUCAAAGAGGGGAUCCUAUGGGGUGUGUUCCUUUGAUGUGAGUGUUUCUUAGGUUGGGAAAACAUUGUAAUCACCUUGGGAUUUUGGGUUCAUAGUGUGAGAGUGGGAAAAUACCAAAGGGUAGUUCUAGGGUUUGUUCAUGUGUAAAGCUUGAUAAGCUAGAUACUUGUAACCUUUUGUAACACUUUCACAUAUUGGAUUGGAGAGCUGCUCUCUCCCCCAGAUUAGGCCACAUUGGCUGAACUGGGUCAACAAUCUUGCUCGGUGUUUUGUUCUUUCCAUUUACCGUUUAUCUUGUUUAUGCUUGUUAGCUCUUAGUGUGGUUUUGCUAUACACAAGUCAUAGGCUGUUUUGUUGUUGUUAGCUUGGAGGCCAUUUGCUCUCAUAGAUUAUCACUAUCACUUGCUCCACACAUCUUUGGUUUAUUAUCAUUGGUGUGAAGAUUUGAUUAGUUGAACCGGAUUCACAACAAUUGGCGCCCACCGUGGGGCAUAGGCGUGAUUGAUAGUUGGUAUCAUGGGGUCAAAGUGGGACAUCGAGAAGUUCACCGGAAGUAAUGAUUUCGGGUUAUGGAAGGUUAAGAUGGAAGCGGUUUUGACUUAACAAAAAUGUGUAGAAGCAUUGAAGGGUGAAGCGGCGAUGCCGGCAACCUUGACACAAGAGGAGAAGCGUGAGAUGGUAGACAAGGCAAAGAGUGCUAUUGUCUUAUGUCUCGGAGAUAAGGUCUUAAGGGAUGUCGCGAGAGAAGCUACCGCGACAUCGAUGUGGGCGAAGUUGGAGUCAUUGUAUAUGACGAAAUCUUUGGCUCAUAGGCAACUCUUGAAGCAACAACUCUAUUCAUUCAAGAUGGUGGAGUCUAAAUCGAUCUCGGAGCAACUAACGGAGUUUAACAAGAUUCUUGAUGAUUUGGCCAACAUUGAAGUUAACAUGGAAGAUGAGGAUAAGGCUUUGUUGUUACUUUGUUCAUUACCAAAGUCCUUUGAGCAUUUCAAGGAUACCAUCCUUUAUGGUAAGGAGGGCACUACUACUUUGGAGGAGGUCCAAGCGGCUUUGAGAACCAAAGAAUUGACCAAGUUCAAGGACAUGAGGGUUGAUGAAGGUAGUGAAGGCUUGAAUGUUACAAGAGGGAGGAAUGAGCAUAGAGGAAAAGGCAAAGGGAAAUCAAGAUCCAAGUCUAGGUCCAAGGGCUUUGACAAAUCAAAGUAUAAAUGCUUUCUUUGUCACAAGCAAGGUCAUUUCAAGAAAGAUUGUCCGGAUAAGGGGGGCGAAGGUGGUCCCUCGGUUCAAGUUGCGGAGGCUUCAAAUGAAGAAGGUUAUGAGAGUGCGGGUGCACUAGUGGUAACAAGUUGGGAACCAGAGAAGAGUUGGGUUUUGGACUCGGGAUGCUCUUAUCACAUGAUUCCUAGAAUGGAAUAUUUUGAGACUUUGAUUCUAAAAGAAGGAGGAAUUGUUCGACUCGGAAAUAACAAAGCUUGCAAAGUCCAAGGCAUGGGCAACGUUCGUCUAAAGAUGUUUGAUGGCCGUGAAUUCCUUUUAAGGGAUGUGAGGUUUGUUCCCGAACUUAAGCGAAAUUUAAUUUCCAUAAGCAUGUUUGAUAAUCUAGGUUAUUGCACUAGAAUAGAGCAUGGGGUUUGUAAAAUUUCGCAUGGUGCAUUGAUUACUAUUAAGGGGUCUAGAAUGAAUGGUUUAUACAUUUUAGAUGGUUCCAUAGUAAUUGGUAAUGCAUCGGUAGCUAGUGUUGCAUCUCAUAAUAAUUCUGAAUUGUGGCAUUUGAGAUUGGGGCAUGUUAGUGAGAGGGGUUUAGUUGAACUAGCUAAACAUUGGACAAGCUAGAAUUUUGUGAACAUUGCAUACUAGGCAAACAACAUAGGGUGAAGUUUGGGAGUGGCAUGCAUCAUUCUAGUAGACCUUUUGAGUAUGUGCAUUCGGAUCUUUGGGCUCCUUCUAAGACUCCUACUCAUGGGGGAGGUUCCUAUUUUCUUUCUAUCAUUGAUGAUUAUUCUAGGAGAGUGUGGGUCUUUGUUUUGAAAAACAAAAGUGAUACCUUUGAAAAGUUCAAAGAAUGGCACACUCUCAUAGAAAAUCAAAUGGGAACUAAACUAAAAGGUUUGAGAACUGACAAUGGCCUGGAGUUUGUUUCAGAGCAGUUUAAUGAGUUUUGCAGGUUGAAAGGAAUCAAGAGGCAUAGAACCGUACCAAGAACACCUCAACAAAAUGGUCUUGCGGAACGCAUGAAUAGGACUCUUUUGGAGCGUGUGAGGUGUAUGAUUCUAGGAGCUGGGUUACCUAAGAGUUUCUGGGGUGAAGCCGUGACAACAGCUGCUUAUUUGAUCAAUAGAUGUCCAUCAACGGGGAUAGACUUCAAGACACUUAUGGAGGUAUGGAGUGGGAAACCGGUGGAUUACUCCUCUUUGAAGGUUUUCGGAGCUUUGGCAUAUGCGCAUAUCAAGCAAGACAAGCUUGAGCCUAGAGCUUUGAAAUGUGUCUUCAUUGGUUAUCCGGAAGGUGUGAAGGGGUACAAGUUGUGGAAAUUGGAAUCUAGUGGAGGAUCAAGAGUCGUGAUAAGUAGGGAUGUUACCUUUGAUGAGACCCGGAUGGGGAUGAAGUGUAAAGACCUAGAGACUCAAGUACCGGAAACUAUGGUGGAGAAAACUCAGUUUGAGGUGGAGCUUCCAAAUGAAGAAGAAGAAGAUGAAGCUUCGAUAUCGGAUACAAGUGGAACUCAACCGGUGGUGGAUCCUAAGUAUCUAUUGGCAAGAGAUAGAGAAAGAAGGACCAUUACGGCUCCUAAGAGAUUCGGUUAUGCGGACUUGGUGUGUUUUGCUCUAAAUGCGGCGGAAGAUGUGCAAGACUCGGAGCCUAGAAACUUCAAGGAGGCAUUUGAGAGCAAAGAGAGCAAGUAUUGGUUGAAGGCGGUGAAUGAAGAAAUGGAUUCAUUGGAAAGGAACCAAACUUGGAAACUUGUGAAGCUACCUAAUCACCAAAGGGUAGUUGGAUGCAAGUGGAUCUUCAAGAAAAAGGAUGGCAUUCCGGGUGUUGAAGGUCCAAGGUAUAAAGCAAGACUUGUGGCAAAGGGUUUCACUCAAGUGGAGGGGAUCGACUACAACGAGAUCUUUUCACCGGUGGUGAAGCAUUGUUCCAUAAGGAUACUUAUGGCUAUUGUGAAUUAAUUCAAUCUUGAGUUGGAACAAAUGGAUGUGAAGACCGCUUUCUUACAUGGUGACCUUGAAGAGACAAUCUACAUGGAGCAACCAGAAGGUUUUGUGGAGGACAAGUCUAAGGCGUGUCUUUUGAAGAAAUCUUUGUAUGGGUUGAAGCAAAGCCCUAGGCAAUGGUAUCGUCGGUUUGAUGAGUUUCUUUUGAAGACCGGUUUUGUGAGAAGCGGAUAUGAUUCUUGUGUGUACAUGUUGAAGAAGAGUGAGAAAGUCAUUCUCUAUCUUCUUUUAUAUGUGGAUGACAUCUUGAUGGCGAACUCUAGCAAGGAUGAGAUUAUGAAGCUCAAGGAGAGGUUAAAUGGUGAAUUUGAGAUGAAAGAUCUUGGUCCGGCAAAGAGAGUCCUUGGGAUUGAUAUCAAGAGGAAUCGUGACAAAGGCGAACUUUUCUUAUCUCAACUUGGUUAUUUGAAGAAGGUGGUGGAGCGGUUUAGAAUGUCAAACUCUAAAACCGUGAGCACUCCCUUGGGUCACCACACAAAGUUGUCCAUACAACAAUGUCCUCAAUCCGAGGAUGAGAAGCAAUUGAUGGAAGGUACUCCCUAUGCAAGUGGGGUUGGAAGCAUCAUGUAUGGAAUGGUUUGUAGUAGGCCGGACUUGGCUUAUGCAGUUAGCAUUGUGAGUCGGUUUAUGGCAAAUCCGGGAAUUGUGCAUUGGCAAGCUUUGAAGUGGGUUUUGAGGUAUUUGAAUGGGUCGUUGAAGGGCGGUUUGAAGUACACAAGGGCAGCUCAAGAUGAAGACGCUUUGGAGGGGUAUGUUGAUGCGGAUUAUGCGGGCAACGUGGACACUAGAAAAUCCUUGUCGGGUUUUGUGUUUACUCUUUAUGGCACGACGAUUAGUUGGAAGGCAAAUCAACAAUCCGUGGUGGCAUUAUCUACAACUCAAGCGGAGUACAUUGCACUUGUUGAAGGUGUGAAGGAGGCCAUAUGGUUGAAAGGGAUGAUUGGUGAGUUAGGAAUUACUCAAGAAUGUGUGAAGAUACAUUGUGAUAGUCAAAGUGCCAUUCACUUGGAAAAUCAUCAAGUGUAUCAUGAAAGGACAAAGCACAUUGACAUUCGCCUGCACUUUGUCAGAGACAUGAUUGAAACAAAAGAGAUUGUGGUUGAGAAAGUGGCAUCGGAGGAGAAUCCGGCGGAUGUGUUCACCAAGUCAUUGCCUCGAUCAAGAUUCAAGCAUUGCUUGGACUUGAUCAAGUUUGUCGAAGAGUAAUUCCCUUUUGGAGAGAGCAGCAUGGUGGUUGAUGGUUAAAUUGACAUCACCACCAAAUUAGAAGUCAAGGUGGAGAAAUGUUGAAUUUGGCUUCAAAUUUGUGGUCUGGAAGAACAGAGUAAUCGUGACACGAUUUGAUAAUCGUGACACGAUCUGAGAUGCCGUGAGCCAAGUUUUGAUGGAGGCAAAUCGUGGCACGAUCUUGGGAAAUCGUGACACGAUCCAGAAACUUGCUGGUUAAGUAUCUCUGAUAAGGACUGGUUAACCUGGGGACCGUUGCAGAUCGUGACAUGAUCUAGGGAAAUCGUGGCACGAUUUCUUCAGGGCAGGACUAGUAUAUAUUGUGUUCUUGUGCUUUUUUGAAGAGAACCUUAAGAUGGCUUAAGAGAGAAAACUUGGAGAUCAAAGAGGGGAUCCUAUGGGGUGUGUUCCUUUGAUGUGAGUGUUUCUUAGGUUGGGAAAACAUUGUAAUCACCUUGGGAUUUUGGGUUCAUAGUGUGAGAGUGGGAAAAUACCAAAGGGUAGUUCUAGGGUUUGUUCAUGUGUAAAGCUUGAUAAGCUAGAUACUUGUAACCUUUUGUAACACUUUCACAUAUUGGAUUGGAGAGCUGCUCUCUCCCCCAGAUUAGGCCACAUUGGCUGAACUGGGUCAACAAUCUUGCUCGGUGUUUUGUUCUUUCCAUUUACCGUUUAUCUUGUUUAUGCUUGUUAGCUCUUAGUGUGGUUUUGCUAUACACAAGUCAUAGGCUGUUUUGUUGUUGUUAGCUUGGAGGCCAUUUGCUCUCAUAGAUUAUCACUAUCACUUGCUCCACACAUCUUUGGUUUAUUAUCAUUGGUGUGAAGGUUUGAUUAGUUGAACCGGAUUCACAACAGUUUUUGAUAUUAUAAACGCAUGCGGUAUUUUUGUGUUUUCAUUGUUGGUGUUAUUUUGUUGACAAGAUAAUUUAUUUUGAGUAUUUUAUUGUUGAUUAUCUGGAAAAUGUAAAUGGUCGAAUGUGUUCUUUUGAUGGACUAAAUUGAUAGAUAGCCCUUAUCUUCAUUUUUCUUUCUAUUCCAGAAUGGUGCGGAUUUCUUGAUUCAAGCCAACACACGUAAGCGCUUAAAACCGCACGAUGAUAACGAUGAUGUUUUUGAACGUGCUGAGGUUUGUUUUUAUAUGGUGGCUCUAUAUACUCUUUGCUAUAGUAGUAAUAGAAUAGCCGUGUCUCAUUGAAAAUACGACAAUGCGUCAGAUAAAUUGCUUGUGCUUGGCUUACUUCUAAAUACUAUAUGUAGUUGCCAUCUUCUGUUACUAGUAUUUUGAUGACUUCAACAAUUGUAAGAAGUGGUAUUCUGUCUCAAUUUGGUGUCGUAGUUGUUUCCAUUCCAACUGAAUAACUAUCACUAUAUCAGGUUGUUACUGAAGGAAGACAAACUAGUUUGGAGACAAAAAAUAAUGUUGAUGCAAAUAGAAAGAAAUCUGGUCGUGGAAGAGGGAGUUCUGGUUCAAGCAGAGGCCGUGGUUCCAAAUCUAAUGAUCAGACCAGAACACAAAUUUCUUCUUCAACAGUUUCGGCUUCAAAUGGUCAGAAUGAGAAUGUAUGUCGUAAAGUUACUUCCCAUCAAAUAUUUGGUUCUUUAAGCAAUAAAUUUUAUGGAUUGAUCAUUUAUGUCACACUCCUUGAUUGUUCGUUACAGAACUCAUAUUUUUGUUUGCAGGAUGGUAGACUCAAAGAUCCGUUUCGUAAUGAUAAUGGUGCUUCAUUAGAGGUAUAUGUAGAAGAAUGGGUGGCUUUAUAUUUUUGUUUUUAUAUUUUUGAGUUCCACGUGCAAGUUUUAAGGCAAGUAGAAGAAUGGGUGGCUUUAUAUGUACUCCCUCCGUCCCAAAUUAUAAGCAAAAAAAAAAUCACACUUAUUAAGAAAACUAAAACAUAAGAAUUUGGAGUAUAGUUUUUUGUGUUUUUUUUUGGAAAAAGUUUUAUAGGAAGAUGUAAAAACAAUUUUCAUUAGCUAUUGUUUAUGGAAAAAAUGAAAGACAGAGAAAAUUGAAUGUAAUUUGCAUUUAAUUUUAUGAGAAUAAACAAAAAAAAUCAUGGAAAAGAUAAAAGUUUGUCUUUUUUGCUUAUAUUUUGGGACGAAGAAAAUGUGUUUUUUUUGCUUAUAUUAUGGGACGGAUGGAGUAUAUGAUUAGAAUUAUGAUAUUAUCUCUUUAAAUUGUCCCUUUCCCCAACAUAUCUCAAUGACAUUGCUGGUACUUUAACUUCAUUAACUUUCAUUUUCUUAUUUUAUUUCAUCUUUGUAUUAAAUUAGGAGGAGAUUGCAUCUUUACGUGCAAAAGUUGUUGUGUUGGAGGAAGACUUACGUAAAGCAAAGCAAGAAGCCUCUCAGCAUCAGAAUAUUUGUCCACAGUUAGAAAAGGUAUAUGAAUAAGGGUGCGUUUGUUUCAGCUUUAAAAAAAAAAUAGAUUUUAUGUUAAAAGAAUCUAGAGAUUUUAAAAAAAAUUUAAAGUUAAUUUUGUUUGUUUACUACCCAUAAAAAUCCAUUUUUUCUAAAAAAUGAGUUUUAACUUGUACAUGUGUUACCUCCUUGUUGUUGAAAAAAAUAGAUUUUGAGAAAAGCUAAUCCUAAUAGCUUUUCAUUUUAUGAUCAAAAUAGAUGUUUUUGAUAAAAUGAUUUUUCUAAAAAUCCUAAACAAACACUUAAAAAUGAAAAAAGUGAUUUUUUUAAAGGAAAAAAUAGAUUUUUUUUGGAAAAAAUCCAAAACAGAUGCACUCUAAUUGUCCUAUUGCAACAAGAGAUGUGAAUCAGAAGGAUGUUUUCUGAAUCUUGAAUUGUAUCAAAUGAUAAGAUAUCAUGACAAUUGAUAAAUAGUUUCAAAAACAUACACCUAUAAAUGAAAGAAAAUAAUUACAAUAGAAUUUUCGCCCAAAUUUUACUCAAUGGAACUUAAUUUGUCACUAAUAAUGAGUCAUACACGGCAUAUAUAAUUCUCAGAUUCAACAAAAUUUAAGGCCCAAACUAAAAAAUGACAAUAAUUUACACUGUAUUUCUUAUAGAAGGUGCAACUGGGCAGUUGGUAUUGUAACUCAUAUUCCAAACCAAGUCCGUUCUACGACCUGACAAAAAUGGCAGUGAAACAACCGAACUGUGUUAUUCAAACUGCAUUCUUUUGAUACCAUUUGCUAAUUGAAUUUAUAGUGAACUGUAAUUAUGCUUUUAUGAAUUGUAAAUACGUAUUAAAGGUAAUAGAAUUGACGGUGUUGAAAUUAAUGUGAUGGUUUUCUGUUCUUCUUCUAAUGUUUGAUUUUGGCACAUGUAGGAACUGAAGGAAUUGAAAGAUCUUGAGGAGCAAAUGAAACCUAAGGUUUGAUUAUUUUCAUCUUUUAAUUGUGGUUAAACUUUUCCUUCUCGAUUCUCUCAAGACACAAAACUCCUAUUGGUAUACAUGUUAUUUAAAAUAUAAUGAAGUGGUGGAUUCAAUUGUGCAUGCACACGAAUCUUCUAUAACAAAGAUGAACUAGAAAUUUUAAAGAGGUUAUCGUUCUCUUACUCCAAAAUAAGUUAAGGAGCAUUGCACGUGUCACUUAUAAAAAUUAAGUUAAGCCGGCAUAUUAACAUCCAGUCCUUGAAUUUUGUAGAGAACAAAAAUAAUAUCCGAUUUGCUGAUAUCAGUUUCAAAGGCUGAGAGACAAGAAGCAAGACUAAAAGUACGACAGGACUCAUUGAGACUCGGAAAUGUUGGUGUAAUCAGGUAUAGGUAGAGCAUUGUGACAAAUACCUUUUUAUAAUAUUUUUAUUUAGGUUUUCUUAUUGGUUUAUUAUAUGAAUUUUAGAGCUGGAACUGUCUUAUCUGAGACCUGGGAAGAUGGUCAGGCGUUAAAGGAUCUGAAUGCCCAGCUUGUAUGUCUAACCUCUUUCUUUCCCUUCAUAUUUAUUUAUUGAAUUUAUUAUGCACCAAUGGUAUUUGUAAGUAUGAUCGUAGAUGUCUUACCCUCUUUGGGACAAUUUCUUCAUAAUAUAUUGGGAUUCAAGAUGAGAUUCCUAUUCAAAAUACAAUUUUAAGGAUGGUGUCUUCGAACUUCUACUUGUUUUCCUUUCCGGUACUAUUAGGCAUUAGCUUGUGGUAUAUUUUGUGAAUGUUUCUAUAACUUUUCUGUGGUGGUUUUUUUAUUUUCAAUUGGAGCCAUUGCAUAUAUCAGUAGUUUGCAUUAGUAAUAACAUGAAUUACUUUAUCUCUUGAUUUUUACAUAAACAACUACUCGAAACAAAGGAGGCAAUUGAGCGCCAGCGCAAGUUAUUCAAGAAAAAACAAUCUGGUACCACUCAGUUUCCUUUUUUCUGUUAACACUUGUCUUCCUGAACUUGGGGAAGAAGGGUUAAGUGGACUGAACGAGUAACUGUCCUUUUCCGCUUUUCCUUUCCCUUUCCCUUCAUUCGUAGUUUGUACCAAUUGUCAUUAUAACCAACAUAUACCUUGGAUCAUAAUAAACCAGAACACUAUGUAAUUUGUUUGCAUCUUAUAACACGCCGUUACCCAAAAUCAUUUAAAUGACAAUCAAAUUCCACGUAAUUCCACAAACGGGCAUGCUACACUACAUUUCAAAAAUUCUUAAAUAGAAAAUAAAACUAUUUAAUUCAACAUCUUUCAUAACUUCAAAAAUCAUGCAGCGGAAUAUUUGCAUCUCAAAUAACAACGACAACGGUUAAAGUCUCCAAGCAAUAUCUUGGCAUUAAGCCUAAUCAACCAACAAAGGGCCACAUCAUCAAGUUCCAAAAAUUGAUACAUAGGAAGGAAAACAACAAUAAAACUAAUAAUAAUUCUCAUCCCACGUAUCAGAGCCCUAGACACGACUCUUGAGCCACCACCGACUACUCAGGAUCACCUGCAAGUUACCCAUAGGAAGGGCAACAUUUUCAAGCAGAAGGGGUGAGAUUCACAACAAUAAAAUAUAGAUAUUAAAAUCUUCAAUUGAAUCUAACACCCUAUAACAUCAAAUACAUCAUCUUGUAAAUAUAAGCAUAUAAUUUCACAAGCAACAACAACAUCAUCAAAAUCCACUCAUCACAAUAUGUAUAUAAAUGUAUAUAUUCAUCAACAACAUCAUCAUCAUCAAUGUGGCAACUACAACCAACAACUAAGACUCAUGCAUGACAUGAUAACACCACUAAGACUCCUCAAAAUAUGCAAUUAUGCAUGUGGUACCAGACAGGACCGAAGCCCUCACCGCUUUUGAAUGGUUAAAGCAUUCAUCAGGACCGAAGCCCUCACCGUUGUGAACAACUAGUGCUCCAGAACAUGAGUCAUCUCCGCUGUUUAUGCAUAUGCAAUGGACCUACUUGUGUAUAUCUACAUACAACUUGACCAUGCAUACAUACUCCAUAUGACUCCAAUUAUACAACAUGUAUGGUUCAAUAAAUAAAUCAUACAACACAGCCAUCAGCAACAUCAACAACCAGCAAUCCAACAAUCCGGAAUAAUGCACAAUUUAAUAUAACUAUGCUCAAAACAACAACAUCAAUCACUACCAUUCAUGCAAGCAAAUUCAGCACUCAAAAUCUGGGUAGCUCGCUAUGGCGAGUUCACAAAGUUGGUUGCUCGCCACGGCGAGUUCAAGGCGAACUCGAAGCGAGUGAAAAGUAGGUGCUCUUGGAAAUUUGACAUUUUUCUCACUCAAACCUCAAUUCUAAGCUCCCUAUUCAUCUUUUCACUACAAGAAACAUUGCCUUUUGCCAGGGGCAAAAUCCCUGUCAAAAGGACAAAAUCCCUGGCAAACGGGACAUUUGUGAGGGAAAAAACGAGGGGCAGAUGGCCUGGCAAAAGCGCUCAUCGCAAACACUUUGCCAGGGGCUACACCCCUGGCAGAAAAACAAGGGGCUGAACCCCUGGCAAAACGCAACGCUUUCUCCCAGGCAGAACCCCUGGCAUGUUCCCUCACUUUCGUCUGCAGCUUUCCUGCACCACUGACUACGACUGACACCUCUGCGGCGGCUCUGACUGAAGUGACAGCAGCAAAAAACGAGGGACAAAGCGAGGGGUUUAACCCCUGGCAAAUGUCCUUAUUUUUUUUUUUAAAAAAAUCAUUUUUAUGAAAACGAUUUUUUUUAUUAAUUAAUAAAAUAUAUUUAAAUUAAUUUAAAAAUCAAUUUUUUUUUUUAAAAAUUGUUUUUGUAAUACAAUUAAAUGGUUAAAAAAUCAAUUUAAUUAAAAAAUAUAUAUUUAAAAAAUUAAUUUUUUUUUUAAAACACAAUUAAAUGCAUAUAGAUAAAGUUUAAUCACAGAAACACUAAUAAGUCUAAUUAAAAUGCAUGAAAUAGAAAGUGUACUUAAUAAUAUUACAAACCGUGCAGGAAAAUAAAUAUUGUGCCGGGAAGCAUGGAAAACCUCCCAAAAUCAUACAAACCAUAACAUAAUAGUAAAGAAAACACACAACAAGCAUCAUAAUUAAGCAUCAAUCAUCCAUCUCGAGGUCGUCAUCAUCAUCCUCUUCGCCCUCACCAUACACUUCAUAGGGGUCAUCCGCAUCAUCAUCACACACUGGAGGAGCCCUCACACUCUCUCGGCUUCCACUCUGCUGCCCAACACCUUGCUCUUGCCUAAAUGUGUCCAACUGAGAGUCUAGGAAUUCUCGUUGCUUCCUAACCACCUCAUGGAUCAGGUCCUGUUGGGUUUGCAUAUGGGCAGCAAGCUGUUCUUGAGUCAACCUAGUGAUCAGAUCCCGCAUUUCUGGAGUGAGCUCAGGUUGCCGAGAAGAGCCCUCCCCAGCAUUAAGGGUCAACUUUAGAGUGGUAGCAACACCCUUGCGGAAGUUUCCAGCUAAGUUUCCUGCACCGUACAAUCGCCCCUUCUUCUUCUCACCAGCAACUUUCGUCCAUGCACGAAGUGUGAGAGCUUCAUCAACAGAGCAUCCACGGGAGAGCGCCUCCGAUAGCUGACGAUCAUACUCCUCCUAAAAUAAAUAAGAAUAAAAUAGUUAAAGAUAAAUAAACAUUAAAAAAAAAUUAUAAUCACUAAUAAAAUUAAUUAAAAUACACUUAUGUAACAAUUACCUGGCAUAUCUUGGAGCGAUCAUCAACAUACUGGCCUGAUCGAUAUGUGUGGGUCUUCUUGUGGAGCUCAUUUAUGUAUGGCUCCCUACCCAGCUUCUUUGCCUAAUUGACAAGAAACACAAUUAUUAAGUAGUUAGUAAAACAUUAAACUAUAUUUAACCACAAAAUAUUUAAAAACAUACAUUCUAUAAAAUUAAUUAACAGAGUUAUUAUUUUUAAUUACCAGUCGACGGGCAUGCUCUGCUGUGCUUAUGCAGCCUCCCGUGUGGAUGCAUCCCCCUUUCUCUGAUGCUCUGUUCUUCUUUGCCUUCUCUGAUUUCGCCUUAAACUCUGGACUCCCCCAAUAGUCCACCAACUGCCUCAUAAGUGGCUCCCCGAUCCAGUAGGGCCUCUUUCCAGCAGUCUCGUGACGAAGUCGGACAUGUCGCAACAUGUCGGAGAGGCGGGCAGAAGCUCUAAUGUGAAAGUUCCUCCUUAUCUGAGCAUAGUACCUGGGGUUCCAGGUACACUUCAUCUGCAUAUUUGUUAACAUAUUUUAGGAAAUUAGUAAAUUAUAACAUAUGUGCAGAUAAGUUAAAAUAUAUUAUGAUAAGUAUUAAUGUAACCUCAAAAAGACCAAACCAUGCAUCCUUUUCAUCAUCUGGGAUAUCACCAUAAGUCUUCCAAAAUCCAUGAAACCUUCCCUGGAUGAUGUCUCUAAUGGCACUGGCGGCUGGCUUGCAGGGCAUGAAACUACAAACAAUGAAAACUCAUAUAGUUAAACAUUACAUAAAUUUAUAACAAUAUACAUAUUGAACAAAAAUACAUAAAGACUUACGAGUUCCCGCUAGGCACAAUGAUGUAACGCUCUUGUUCAUCUUGCGGAUAAUCUGCCAUCUCCUCAUCAUCAUCAUCAGCACCCUGUUGGGGUUGGGGUUGGGGUUGUUGAUGUUGGGGUGGUGGGGGUUGUUGAUGUUGAGGGAUUAUAAAGCUGGUCUGCCCAUGAGGAAAUGUUGGUGGAGGAGGCAACUGGUAACCUGUAGGGAGGAUAAAACCAACAGGUGCAACAACACCAGACCCUCCAGCGGGUGCAGCAGCACUAGCUUGGGAUGACCCAGUCGAUCCCUGGCUAGAAGAAGAGGGUGGUCUGGGAAAGGGAGUCAAUGUGGCAAGUGUGGCUGGAUCCGCAAUGUGUGUUGUGAACCGCCUCCUGGGGUCCUUGCUCUUGCCUUUCUCUUUUUGUUUCGGAGGCAUUGUGAAUCUGUUAAAUAACAAAAAAAGCGAUAUUGUAAAGGACUCAAAUAUAUAUACAUCAUUAAACAAGCGAUAUCUUCAUUCAAACUCAAAUGUAUUCAAGAUUACAAUAAAUUCAAAUUCAAUCAUUACAAGGGUGGAUAACAAUAUACUUCAAGUGUUGUUAUCAGACGCAUAGUUAUAUUCAUCUACAUCACCAUCAUCAACUUGAUUGUCUUGCUGGUCCCCUUCAUUAUUAUCAUCAACAACGUCUUCAUUCUCAUCUUCAACUUCAUCACGCAUCUCCAAAAUAGAAAGAUCAACCUGAUCCCCUUCAACGUGAGAGUCUUGCCAACUUGUCACUUGAUCUACUUCAAUUAUCUCAUUUACAUGUGUCAUAUCAUCGGCUUGGUAAGCAACUUCUUCGUUUGGUUCUCCAGUCUCAAUGCGGCCCCUCGGUUUUGUUUUGAUUGCAACAGACCAACCUCGUUUGCGUGGUAGAGUUGGGGGAUAAGGAACAUAGUACACUUGCCUAACAUUGUGUGCCAUGAUAAACGGGUCAUAUUCUUUAUAUUUUUUGUCGACUCGAAUAUCAACAGUGUUGCAUAAUUUAUUAAUUUUAGUCCAUCUAGGCGAGGGAUCAAACCAGUCACAAUAAAACAACACAACUUUAUUGUCAUUAUAUGAAAGCUCAUAAAUGUGUUUGAUCACGCCAUAGAAAUCAUCUUCACCUCCAUCUGUAACUCCUUUUACAUAAACACCACUAUUAAUAGUCUUUUUUCCUUCCGUCCAAGAGUGGGUAUGAAAUUUAUAUCCAUUCACGAAGUAGGUGUGAAAUUCAUUGGCACAUUGUAAAGGACCCUGAGAUAAUUGCCGUAAACGGAUGACUUCAUCAGUUGGCUCGGCAUUAUACACUCUUUGUUUAAACCAAGCUGGAAAAUAUUCAUGUAUAGAACCAGCUGUCGAUCCUUCACCAAACUCCGCAUAAAGAGCAAUAAAUUCCCUAAAAAGCAAUAAAUUCAAUACGAUGUUGUUAACCGCGUUAAAACUUAUUGUUAUAUGGACUAGUAAAAAUGGGUAGGAAUAAAUUUACUUACUCAAGGUAUGGUUUAACUUCCGCACAAUUAAUCAAAACAUGAACAUGAGCAGACCGCAUCUCUUUCUGAUCUACCAUCCAAUAUUGAAGCACCUUGCCCGCGUGUCGACCAUGAAGAUUGAAUACGGAUAAGGUUGACGGAUCCCGAACAUCGUUAACCUCAACUUCAUUUCUUGUAUUUGAUGGAGUAAGUAGACGAUCAACGAAAUAAUGGCCGAUGAAGUAUGUGGUUUCCUUGGCGGUGUAAAUAGCAACAAUUGAUCCUUCCACUUUGGCCAGAUUUUUAAAUGCUCGUUUUGAGUCACCCAUGAAUCUUUCAAAAGGGUACAUCCACCUAUAUUGAACAGGUCCGCCAAGUAUAGCUUCAUAUGCCAGAUGCACAGGAAGAUGUUCCAUAGAGUCAAAGAAACCUGGUGGAAAAAUUUGCUCCAACUGACAGAUAAUGAUUGGCAUAUUAUUCUCCAUUUUCUCAAGUUCAUCAACUCUCAAGGUUGAAGCGCACAAAUUUUUAAAAAAUUGACUAAUCUCAAUAAGUGGAUCUAGCACAUGUUUGGGCAAUGAACUAAAUGCAAUUGGGAUAAAGUUCUCCAUGAAAAUGUGAGAGUCAUGACUUUUCAUCCCAUGCAACCUUCCCGUGUUGACAUCGGCACACCUGCCUAUGUUAGAAGAAUAUCCAUCGGGCAUUCUCAAAUCCUUCAACCAUUGACACACUAAUUUUGCUUCUUGGGCAGAUAGGCUGUAGUUGGCUUUCGGUUUCAACAACUUCCCAUUCGGUUGAGGUUUCAACUCCAAAUCCUUUCUUUUGCAAUAUAUUUGUAAGUCUUUUCUAGCCUUCUCAGUGUCUUUUGUUUUUCCUUUGACAUCCAUCACUGUGUUAAAUAUGUUGUCAAAGACAUUCUUCUCAAUGUGCAUUACAUCAAGAUUAUGUCUGAGCAAGUUAUCUUUCCAAUAUGGGAGGUCCCAAAAUAUACUCCUUUUAGUCCAGUGAUGGUCUACUCCGUAUCUUGGUAUUGGGACAGCUCGACCAUAAUCAGUGACUUUUGGAUAAUCACAAACUCUUGUCCACACUUCUUCUGAUGUAAUCUUAGGUGGAGGACCAACAAAAACUCUCUCAUCCUUCUUGAAACCAUUCUUAAGUCUUCUAAACGGGUGAUUAUGAGGCAAGAACGGAUGAUGACAGUCAAACCACGAACUCUUCCCUCCACUUUCCAAAGUAAAUGCCUUUGUAUUUUCCAUACAAUGUGGACAUGCAAAUCUACCAUGAGUACUCCAACCGGACAACAUGCCAUAAGCGGGAAAAUCAUUAAUGGUCCACAUCAAAGCUGCUCUCAACUUGAAAUUUUGUUUUCUAGAAAUAUCAUAUGUCAAUUCUCCAGCCCACAACCUCUUCAAAUCAUCAAUUAAAGGUUGUAGAAACACGUCUAUGCCUGCUUUAGGGUUAUCUGGUCCUGGUACAAUACAACUCAAAAACAAGUAUGGUUUUGUCAUGCACAUUUCAGGAGGGAGAUUAUACGGGGUUACAAUGAUUGGCCAACAAGAAUAUGGUUUUGCCGAGGAUUGGACAUAUGGCUGAAAACCGUCAGAGCAUAAUCCAAGUCUCACAUUCCGUGGAUCUGCUGCAAAAUCAGGAUGUACUCGAUCAAAGUGUUUCCAUGCUUCACCGUCAGAAGGAUGUCGCAUCACUCCGGGAAUUCCAUUUGAAUGAUGCCACGUCAUUUGACUAGCAGUUUUCAUCGAUGCAAACAGUCUUUGUAAUCUUGGUAUUAUCGGCAAGUAAAACAUUGACUUAACCGCAACUCGUUUCUGCUUGCUAAUACCGUACCUCGGGCUUUGACAAAAUUUACAUUCCUCCAAUGCUCCAUCAUUUAUCCCAAACUCAUUGUCAUAAAACAACAUGCAUCCAUUUCUACAACAAUCAAUCUUUUUAACUGAUACUCCCAACUUCAUCACCAACCUCUUCGCAGCAUGAUAAUUCAUUGGCAGAUUAUCUUUGAACGGAGUCACGGCCUUCAACAUCUUCGUAAUAUCAUCCAUACCAUCAUCAGGAUUAAGAUAAUUCGACUUAUGAGAUAAAAGCCACACACACAUAGAUAGCUUAGAGUGCGAAGACCCUUCAUACAAAGGUGUAUUACUUUCACUCAACAAUCGGUAAAAUCUUUGCGCCUUCUCAUUCGGGGGUUGUUCCUCUUCAUCAUCUUCAACAUCUUCACCGUAAGACAAUUCCACCCCUAAAGCAUCCGCAACCAUAUCAUCCAUCAUGUUGAAUUGUUCUGUGUUGACAUCUUCAUUGUAUUCCACAUUUGUUUCCACAUUUGUUCCACCAUGGCUAGUAGAAGCUUGUGCAUUGACCCCUACCCCAAAAUUCUGAAACAUUUCACCAUUAUAUGUCCAAACCCAAUAAUUAGGCAUAAAACCAACUUUUUUUAGGUGUUUCUUCACAUCUCCAGGAUCGGUAAUUAUAUGUCUGCACCUACAUUUUAGACACGGACAUCUAAUUCCUCCCUCAUCUCUACAUAUUUCUUGCUCCCAUGCCCAUGAAAUAAAUCCGUCAACUCCUUCGACAAAUUGCGGUUUUAGUCCAGUUCUUCUCGGAAACGUCCUAUCGUACAUCCAACGACGAUAAUAUUCAUAAUACUCCAUCUUCUACACGUUCCGCAACUUCAUUGACAUAUUCCACGUCGUCAAAAAUAAAUUAUUACUCGACGGAGAUAACUAACAUUACGCGCAAAAAAAAAAUCCCGCUCAAACAAUAAAAUAUAAGUUUACGCGCAAACAAAUUAAAUUUUUAACUCGCAAAUUAAACAUAUAAUAAUUAAUUAUUAAAUAAUUGUAACAUAGUUUUAAUUUUCAUCGAUAAACAACUUUCUUGUACUAUACUAUUUUUGAGUCCCUCCUUUUUAAACAAUAUGCAUUAUUAUAUUAUAUUGUUUUAUUUUAUAAAAAUAAUAAUUAUAACAUUUUAGACACGGAAAUCAAACAUAUUUUAAUUUAUUAAAAAAAAUUACAUUUUAACAAAGUUUUAAUUUUUUUUAAAAAAAACUGAUUUUUAAUACACUAUUUUAAUAAAUCGUUUUCCAAGAACUUUUUAGUGUAGUAUUUUUUAUGUAGUAUUUUUAUUUUCCUACGCUUUAAUUAGUUUUAAUUUAUGAAAAUAAUAAUUAUAACAUAAUUAUAAUUUCAAUAUAAAAACAGAUUUUUAAAUAUAUAAACAUAUUUUAAUUUCAUAAAAAACAGCAUUAGGUUUAAAAAUCUGUUUUUAUAAUUUAAAAACUGGUUUUUAUAUGGUAUUAACUAAACUAAAUUAUAUUUAUAAAAACCAGUUAUUAAAAUUUAAAAAAAAAAUAUUUUUAAUAACAGAUUUAGUUUAACAAACAAUUUUACUUUUAAAACAAUAUUCCCUUAUUUUGUUAUUUUAAAACAGUACCGAAAGGUACACUUGCUAAAAUUAAUUAAAUUGGUCCUAUUUUUCUUUCUUACAAUUAAAUAAGUUUAUUAUUAAAAGAAAAAACAGAAUAUAAGCAAUAAGUGUUUGACCAUAUUUUUUUUAACAUUCUACUACAACAUACAUAUAUAUUACAUUUUAUAAAAAAAAAAAAAAAAAAAGACAGCAUGCAUAUAUUUCAUUUUAUCACAAUAAAAACAACAUGCAUAUAUUUCAUUUCAUCACAAAAAAUAAACAUGCAUAUAUAUAUAUAUAUAUAUAUAUAUAUAUAUAUAUAUAUAUAUAUAUAUAUAUAUAUAUAUAUAUUUCAUUUUAUCACAACAAAUAAAAAAACAUGCAUACAUUUCAUUUUUUCACAAAAAAAGCAUGGAUAUAUUUCUCAAAUUCGAAUAAAUAAACCAACAAUAUUCAUGCAUAAUAAUAUAUAUGAAGAAAAAAAAAUAUUACAUGAUUAUAUUAAAUAUUUUAGAUUUUCGGAAAAAAAAAAUACCAAACAGUCAUCAUAUAUUUUUACAACAUAUCAUCAAAAUGUAUAAUUUUUAGGCCAAAAAAAUUACCAAACAGUCAGCAUAUAUUGUUAUGAGGAAAAAAAAUCACUAACUUGUUGAAGCUUUAUUACACUAGAAGAUCUCCAAUGCAAUCCAAAAACAACAACAGUUGAAGCAAUAGCUGACCACAGGAGGCAGAUAAGUAACACAACUGCAAAUAACAUAGAAAAUAAAUAAGAUUAAUAGGUGUUAAAAAUUAAUAUCAUGAUAAAACAUAUAAGAAAUGAAGUAUUUUUUACCAAAGAAAUGAAGUUUGAUGAAAGUGUUGAGUUUUAAGAGAAGAAAAUGUUCUAUCUUGCUUCCCUGAGACCGGUGCAACUCUUAUAUAGGGAGGGGAAAAAGCCACGGCUUCUGCGACGGCCUGCCCCCUGGCUUAUCUGGUCAAAUCCUACCUAGCUAGGCGCAACAAUAGGGCACAUAACGGCUUGCAAAAAGCCAGGGAUAUGUGCAAUUUCCGAGGGGUUCUGCCCCUGGCAAGCCUGCAGCACAUCACCUUUCCCAGGCCCUUGUCAAGUCAACAGAAAAAGCAGCAGGAAUCUAUGGAAACGCGUACAUCCGAGGGGCUUUCCCUCGCAUAAGCCCUCGGUUAUUUCUGACAUUGCAGAAAUUGCACCAGCUUUUGAAAUUUCAAUCUGGCGCCUAAAAAUAUGCCACGGCUUUUGACAAAAAACGAGGGGCAAAGUCCCUGGCUUUUUUGCCAGCGGUUGUCCCUGGCAAAUUUGCCAGGGGUUUCAAACCUUGACAAAAUCCCUGGCAAAACGCAAUGUUUCUUGUAGUGUUUUAACCUAAAACUUGUUCCAUUCAUCAUUAAAAUCAUUUAGGUACAUUAAAUCAUCCCCAAAACAUCUUAUAACAACAAUUUGAAAAUCAAGUUUUGAACUGGCUUGCUCGCCAUGGCGAGUUGGUCUUCUCGCGAGGCGAGCCAUGCUGUUGUUCACUAGCGAGGCGAGACAUGAAUGCUCGCGAGGCGAGCGAUGAACAUCAGUACGGGCAGAAAACAGGUUUUUUCCAAAAAUCCCAUUUUUCUUCCAUUCACUCCACAAAUUGGUUUACAGAUGUGAGUUAACUUACUGUAUGCACUCAGAACCUAUUUCUAACAUCAGAAUCACAAUCUCAACCCCAAAAUCAUCAUUUCAUCAUAAAACCCCAAAAUCCCAAUUCACUCCAAAACUCUGUUAAACUCAAAUUCAGAAAUUAAAAUCUAUACUACUUGAGUAAACCUCACCCUUACCUUAGAAAUUGCAGAAAAUGCACAGCAUAAAUGGUUCUUGGCUCUAACUUGCUCUUCUCUCCCUUUUCUCCUAACUGGACAGUUUUCACGUACAGAGUUUUCUAACUUCUCUUUUCCUAACUUCCCAUUACUUAACUCCCCUUUAUUUUCAUUUAACUCCCUUUAAUUCUAUUAAAUAUUAAAUAACUCCCCAAACUCCAAAAUAAUUAUUAUUUCUCACUUAUUCUAAUUAUUAUUAAAAUAAACCGUAUAAUAAUAUAAACACACCACAUAAAUCACCAAAAAUCAUAUAUAUAUAUAUAUAUAUAUAUAUUAGACUCCACAUAAUCCAAAAAUAAAUAGCACAACGAUUGGAGUGUUACACAUCUACUUUUAAUAGCCUUCACUAUUUACUUAUUUGUCAUACCCCAAUUUUUGACCCAAGAUACCACUUACACGUGUCAUUUAAACUCCGACCGGUCUCAGCCUUUCGAGCAAAAAAUUCGGCAGGGAGGUAUUUUAAAAUACCUCAUAGUUGGUUCCGAGUCGGGCCCUCUUCUCUCAAUUUUCAAUUUUCAUCUAAUUUCCAUCUUUUAUCAACUUUAAAUCCAUCUUAAAUUUUUAUCUUUUUAUCUCAUUUUGAUUCACUUCUAUCUUUUAUUUUAUUUUAUCUUUAUUAUUAUUAUUUUCCAAUUUGGUCCGAUAAUAUCCAAUUUACAGCCUGUCAGCUUCCUCUCCAAGCCACAACAGCCUGUCAUGUUUCCUCCCCAAGCAACAAAAUUUUGCUCAUUUCAAGCUCUAUAAAUACAACACGCAAGCAGCACACAGAGAGGGGGGCCCAACAAACAAAAAAAACAUUCCACGGCCACAACACAACACACAAGACAACAAUUUUCAUUCUUUUUUCGAUCCCAAACCAGCAACCAACAGAGAACAAUUUUCCUCCCAUUUUUUCUUACAAUCCAAACCUUUCCAAUCAACCAACCAAACACAAAUUUCAAACCAGAACAUUUCUAACACAAGAUCAACAACCAAACUCACAGAUCCGGUAACCAAACCGCAAAACAACACACAAACUGUUCUCAUAACAAAACCGAACCAUCGCAACUCAAAUCGAACCAAAUCUUUACAAACCCUCUCAAACCAAAAAGGUAGUAUUUCUUUCCUUAGAUCUAGGUCCAACCGCUUGGUAAAAAUAUUUUUUGAGCUUAAAAUCAUAAAGAGUGAGUAAAAAGAAGUAAAAAGAAGUAAAAAGAACGAAAAAAGGAGACGCUUUCAUCUCCGGCGCGGCGGCGCAGCCGCUAUGGCUCACCGGCCACCGCGCCGGAACCCCCUCCGACCACCAUCUCUCCACCGGAGAAGAUGAAGAAAUUCUAGAGAGAAGGCAGAGCUUCUCUCUCUAGAAAUAAGAGAAGAGAGAGAAAGAAAAAUAAAAGUGAAUGAAAAAAACCAGUCCUGCCUAUUUAUACUACUAGACCGAACCGGUUCAAAUCUGAACCGGUCUGAACCGGUCUAAUCCAGGCCCAUGCGUUUUUCCUGAGGCCCAAUCUCGAUUCUUCAUUUUUAUUCUUGCACCCUCACUUUACUGCUCAUACACCACCAGCAUCUCAUCUUUUUACUUUCUUUUUUUCAUGCAUUUUAAUUUCCUCUCUAUUAAUCCAGAGUGCUCUGGUCCUAUAUUAACUGUUAAUAUUAUAUUCUUGUUUAAUUUAAUUAUUCUCCAGAACAAUCUGGUCCUUGUUAAUUAAAUUAAUCCAGAGUGCUCUGGUCCUAUAUUAACUGUUAAUAUUAUAUUUUUGUUUAAUUUAAUUAUUCUCCAGAACAAUCUGGUCCUUGUUAAUUAAAUUAAUCCAGAGUGCUCUGGUCCUAUAUUAACUGUUAAUAUUAUAUUUUUGUUUAAUUUAAUUAUUCUCCAGAGUGCUCUGGUCAUUGUUAAUUAAAUUAAUCCAGAGUGCUCUGGUCCUAAAUUAACUGUUAAUAUUAUAUUCUCCAGAAUAUUCUGGUCCUAUAUAUAUAUAUUAAAUACUAUUUAUCUUGUUGAACUAACAAUCUUUUCUUCACACCCACACACUUUAUUUUUUUGUUGCUCUAUUUGUUUAAUUUUCCAUUACUAUUCAAAACAACAAAAACAUUCAAAUAUUCAAAAAACAACAAAAACAUUCAAAUAUCCAAAAUUCACAAAAAGAGCUUUUCACAACAAACCUUGACUUUCAAUCAAGUGACCGUCUUUUUAUUUUAUUUUUCUUAAUCAAAUUUCAAAUCAAUUCUAAUUCAACUUCAAGUCAAUUUUCUUCAAUCUAAAAAACACAAAUCAAUUCUCAUUUGCCAUUUGGCUUUUUAUUUCAAAACCUUUUUCAAAACAUAUAAAAAACACCAAACAAAUCAAACGUCAAUUUCUACCCCGAACUACGAGGUUUUGAUCCCUCACGGGUACGUAGGCAGAGGACCUUGUCCUUCCAAAUCAAUUAAAAAACAAUUUUCUUUUUUCUUUUCAACUUUCAACUAAAAAACAAUUUUCUUUUUUUUCCUUCAAUCAAAAUCAAUUUUCUUUUUCUUUUCAACUCAUCAUUCAAUUCUAUUUUCAUCUCUUUAAAAGCAAGCAAGUUUAAGCACAAAAAGUUAAAUAAAAUCAAGAGGUUCUCGUAGAGUACUACGAAUAUUUAGGGUGCUAACACCUUCCCUAAAUAUAACCAACCCCCAAACCCUAAAUCUCUUCAAAAUGGGUUGUUUGGAACUUUUUCCCCUUAAAAAAAAAUUUGUUCAGUCGUGAGAUAAAAAGUGAGUCAAAGUCAAUCAAAUGGCCUUGACGUCCGAAAAAUGGCGCGACAGAAAUGGCGACUUCACUGGGGAUGUCAUAAGAGGGUUGAGCCUAACUUGAAUUUAUUUAAAUUUUGUGCCAUAACUUGCUUACAAAUCAAAAAAUAAAAGAUGAAAAUACGUGCAUAUAUGUUCUCUUUUCUUCUUUCUUUUUCCUUAACAUGAGUGGUGAGAUAAGUCCUACACCCGGGCUUGAGGAAAACAUAAGAUAGGAUGGUGAUAUAAUCAAAGUGCUAUUCCAAGAGUAAUCUUGAGUGUUAGUACAUGUGAUAAUCCCGCUCAAUGGAGGUUCUUGGAAGUAAUACUAUGUUGACAUGAGUAAUCGUGUUUGACACUAUUAUUUUCAAGUAAUCGUCGAAGUUGAGGACCUUUAGUUACCUUUAACCCAUCUUGGCCUCUUAGGACGUAGUGCGGUGGGUAAUCAAGAGUAAUCUUGAAUUAGUCGAUACGCGAUACUACACCCAAACAAGACUUUCCUACAAAUGUCAUUGGAUCAAGAGUAAUCUUGUAACCUGAUAAUAUUUGGAAGUGGUUGUAGACUUUGGGAACUUGGUAGAACCCAUGAUACAGGUACAAAAUGAAACCAUAGUCCUUACCAAAUGGCGUGUUUACCCCUCGACUCCAUCGUCAUGGCCUUAAACCUCACCAUGUUUUCACCAUUUGUGUCGCAUAAUCAUGCAUACAUGCAUUCGUUCAUAAAUAACUUUUUUUUUCUCUCAUCAAAAUAUCGAAGGACUAAAAAAAAAAAAUCUUUUGUAAACAUCAUAGGUAUGAAUCCUGCGACAAGAACCACUAGGAAGUACUAUUUCCGAAACCCGGAUUUGUCAAACCUAAGGAAGCUAGGGAAAAGGGUGACUAAUCCGGUAGAUUUUCAAAAUCGCCAUGGAAGACUGCUUAACCUCCUCGAGACGAAGGUGGUGCAAGGGAUCCUCGAUACUUUGGUCCAGUUUUAUGACCCUUAUUGCCAUUGUUUCACUUUCCUCGACUACCAACUUGUCCCCACCCUUGAGGAAUACUCCUACUUGAUCGGGUUACAGUGUCUAACGAAGAACCAUUCAACGGCCUUGAGCCUGUUCCUAAGCACGCAACCAUUGCAAAGGCCCUUCACCUUGAAACAUCUGUUAUAACAGCUAAACUUACCACCAAAGGAGGCCUUCUAGGUCUACCCGCCAAUGUCCUCUUUGAAAAGGCCGUCGCUUUCGCCGAUAUGGGCAGUAUUGAUGCCUUUGAAUCCAUCCUUGCCCUACUCAUAUAUGGUCUUUUGCUUUUCCCAGAUGUCACCAACUUUGUUAAUAUUAAUGCCAUCAAAAUAUUCCUAGCCAAAAACCCCAUCCCCACUUUGCUUGCCGAUACAUAUCUCUCCAUCCAUGAUCGAACCCAAAAAGGGCAAGGAACUAUACUUUGUUGUGCACCCUUGUUGUACAAUUGGUUUACCUUACAUUUACCCAAUCACUUCAAAACCAAUCCAGAAAACACCCUUUGGUCACAAAAAAACCAUGUCCCUCGCUCCAUCUGAUAUAGUUUGGUACAACCGAAAUUAUGACACUGGAACAAUCAUUGACAGUUGCGGAGAAUUCUCUAACGUACCUCUUCUCGGUAUAUGUGGGGGAAUUAGCUAUAACCCUAUUCUCGCCAGGCGUCAAUUUGGGUACCCAAUGGAAAAACCAAAGGAUAUCUCACUAGACGGGAUAUUCUACCUCAACCAAGAGGAUAACAAGGGCAUGAGAGGAAGAUUUAUACAAGCUUGGCGUGCAGUUCAUAAGAGGGAAAAAGGUCAGUUAGGAAGGAGGUCAGGUUUGAUCUAUGAAUCUUACACUAAGUGGGUCAUUGAUAGAGCUGCAAAAAAUGGAAUACCUUAUCCUCUACAAAGACUCCCAUCUUCAACUACCCCAUCUCCAUCCUUACCCAUGACUUCUAAAACCAAGGAGGAAGCUCAAUACCUGUUAACCGAGAUGACACGAGAAAAGGACAUAUGGAGAAUGAGAUAUAUGGAAGCCGAGAACAAGAUUGGGACUCUAAAGGGACAAGUAGAACAGAAAGAUCAUGAGCUCAGCAAGAUGAGGCAACAAAUGAUCGAGAGAGACGAUCUACUCCAGGAGAAGGACAGGUUGCUUGGAAAGCAUAUCACUAAGAAGCAACGCAUGGACUUCAUGGAUUUGUUUGAUGGUGCACAUUCAGAUUUCGAGGAGUAGUCUGCUUCAAGAGCUCAAGAGCUCCCCGUUUGUUUUAUCCUUUAUGCUUUCUAUUAUGUACUUUGGAGUCUAUCCCUUGGCUCAAUUUGUUAAAAAGGGAAUUAACUUGUUUCUAUUUGUAGGACUAUCCCUUGACUUUGUUUUAGAAAGGGAAUUAUCUUGUCCAAGGAAACUUUCAGUUAUGAUGUUUACUAAAAUUGCUUUUAUAAGUCCUUCGAUAAAUAAAAUAUGUCUAUCUUUUUGCAUAACAUCAUGCAUCAUCCCGCAUUUCAUAGUUUCAAAUACAAGUCUCACAAAUUUUAUUUUAUUUUUCUUUUCCACAAAAAGGUCAAAGAAGGGUUUCAUGUCUUCAUUCAACUUCAGCUCACACAUGCAAACACUCGUGCAAACACAAAAAAUGGAUCGACUUGGAGAAGAGGUCCACGAGCUUCGUGAAGAAGUGACUAUACUUCGGGCCGAGGUAGAGAAGUUAACUAACUUGGUAUCUUCACUAUUGGCUACGGAGGAUCAGCCGCUAUGCCCACAACAGCCUCGACAACAAGCUCUUCAGCAGUUUAUUGCUCAAGAUCAAGCUAAGGGAGCACCACGGUUUGGUCUGAUCCCUGUGAAAUAUGCAGAGUUGUUUCCCGCACUUCUUAAGGAAAAUCUGAUCCAAACUAGACCACCUCUCCCGGUACCAAAAAGGUUGCCAAUAGGGCAUAGAGCUGACCUUUCUUGUGCUUUCCAUCAAGGGGCAUCAGGUCACGAUAUCGAGCAAUGCUUUGCUUUCAGGACUGUAGUCCAGAAGUUAAUCCAAGCUAACACACUGUCCCCUGAGGGUCAGCUACUUGUCCAACAAAGAUCUCAAAAGCCGGUUUACCAGCCACAACUUCAACAACAGGCUCCAAGAGCACUGCAGUUUGAUCCGAUUCCUAUGAAGUACGCAGAAUUGUUUCCUUAUCUGCUCAAGAAGAACUUAAUCCAAACUAGGGCACCUCCUCUAGUGCCGAAGAAAUUGCCGGCUCAAUGGAGACCUGACCUCUUUUGUGCUUUCCAUCAAGGAGCACAAGGUCAUGACAUUGAGCAUUGUUUCUCCUUGAAGAUUGAAGUCCAGAAGCUGAUUGACGACGAUGUCUUGCCUUUCAAAAAUUUGAAUCCGAGUGUGUAGCUGCAAUUGGGUCAACGUUUAUGCCUUCUUCUGCUACUCGAUUUUCUUCCAGCGAUACGUUUGUUGGUUUACUACCUUUUCAAAAAAAUCCUUUCGUCCCGCCCGAGAUGAAAGUGAACUGGUGUAGGGCUUUUUGCUUUAAGAAUUGUCAUCAUUAAUAAAUAAAAAAAGUCGCUUCGAUCCCGACUUUGCCUUUUUGCUUUUUCUAGAAAAAUGGUAAAUACAAAAAAACCAAAAAACAAUAAUCAUUUUCAAAUAUCUGCAUAAUCAUAACUUUCAUUUACUCGUCAAAAUCAAUAAUCAAAUCAUGCAUUAAUAAACUCGUUGAACACAAUAACCAUGUACUCUCUUCCAACUUUGAGUUCCCUAUGUCCGAAGAUGAAGAAGAGGAAAAUGAGGAGACUCCUAGUGAGAUCUCUUGCUUACUGGGGCAUCUUAGCCGUCGAAUCUACAAACAAAAAUAUCAAGAAGAUUGCCCAGAAGAUGGCUUUCAUUUACAAAGACUGGCACAAGAUGCUACCAUCCGCACUUCUUGAGUAUAGUACUUCAAUGCACAUUUCAACAGGGGCAAGCCCCCCCCCCCCUCCAUCCCUCAGUAUACAACAUGAAGUUUGUGCUUCCCAUGGAGGUCGAAGUCCCAACAAUAGGAGUUCUACCAAAGUCCAAGCUUGAUUGAACUUAAAACACAUGACGACCUUGUACAACCAUGUUAAAAGAGGUUGAAACAAACUUCAAACAAGAAGGUUCGUCCUCAUGGAAUUCAAGAAAGAGACUUUGUGCCCAAAAAGGUACUAUCUUUCCAACCACACUCUAGGGGCAAGUGGACGCAUAACUAGGAAGGCCCAUGUGCACUGACUCUUGUGCCUACAAAUGGUGACAAACUCACACUUCCUAUGAAUGUCAAUGCAGUCAAGAAAUACUUUGUCAAAAAAUGAAAGCUCGAUAAGUCGCAAACCUGAAAAGGCGGCUUAGGCAAAAAUGAGCGUCUCGGUGGACUGAAAACCCAAAAGGGCGGUCCAGGCAAAAGUUAGAGACACAAAAAUGAUUAUCCUGAUAGAUUGAAAACCCGAAAGGGCGAUCUAUGCAAAAAUUAAGGAUCAAAAGACAAAGUAACUGCAUCAGUCAGGCACCAUACACUUGGGGCAUCCAACUAUCAAAGGACUUCCGACUCGAAGCCUCUACAUAUCAAAGACCCAGAACAGGGGCAUUCAAAGUUGUUGGGGAGAAUAACGGUUAUUGUGUUCAAUGCACCCUUCCCAUUACAUUUACCAUUUUUCCAAGAUUUUCAAAAUCCGUGGAGCCAUGCCCUUGGCAGGUCACCACUCAAUUCAGCAAAUUUGAGCCUGUGCCCAUUUAUUUGGAACUCUCAUUUAUUCUGUUUGCAUAAUUUUUUUCUAUUUUUUAUGGCAAUACUUAAAGCAAAAAUUUUCAAAAUACAAAACAUUUUUUUUUUUUUACAUCUUUUGAAAAGUGUGAACAACAAACACACUCUCUUUGAACUCAUAAGUAGGUGAAGCGUACAUCAACAUUUGCCUCAAGAACGGUUACACUACGAAAGAGAAGCAGGGCUAAGCACAUAUGGAAAGAACCUCUGCCUUGAGCAAGAUGCUGUCACAGUCAAAAAAAUACAAAAAAAAAAAUCAAAGCUCGCUAAGUGAAAACCUGGAAAGGUAGCUUAGGCAAAAAAUGAGCGUCCCGGUAGACUGAAAACCCGAAAGGGCGGUCUAGGCAAAAGUUAGGGACACAAAAAAGAAAUAUACUCCCGGUGGACUGAAAACCCGAAAGGGCAGUCCAGGCAAAAGUUAGGGAUUUCAAAAAAAAAAAACACGACUUUUGAAGCAUGCAAGAGGAGGAACACCCUGCGUCGUCUUACAACUGGCGACUUCUUCUAGACUUUCUAUCAACAAUGGGCUUUACCCCCAAGAGGCAUCAGUUGCUACCUUGUGCCAGGUUCUUAUACCGUCAACGGUUUGAUUUGUUAACAAUAAUGUCAUCUCCAAGGAAGUUUGCCAAGUGUUUGUACUGCGAUGUCAGUCCGCCUCCCACCUUACCAAUCCUGUCUCGUUCCAUCGAGUCUAUACAAUCAUACAUUCAUUCACACAUUCACACAUCAAUACAUUCAUACAAUCAUGCAUUCAUCAAUAUUUUCACAUAUUCUUACGUUUACGUGUACACAACAUAUGCACAACAUCGAUCCACCCAUAAUUACAUCAGUCAUCCAUAAUAUCGUUUCAGUCAUGUCUCUUAAGUUCGGUUUUAACUUAUCAAUUUCAAGCGGCAAGUUUCGGAUAAAGGGACAACUUGAAUCUAUUUUCAGUCAAUUUCAAGCGGCCAGUUUCCGAUAAAGGGACAACUUGAAUCUAUUUUCAGUCAAUUUCAAGCGGCGAGUUUCCGAUAAAAGGGACAACUUGAAUCUAUUUUCAGUCAAUUUCAAGCGGCCAGUUUCCGAUAAAGGGACAACUUGAAUCUAUUUUCAGUCAAUUUCAAGCGGCGAGUUUCCGAUAAAGGGACAACUUGAAUCUAUUUUCAGUCAAUUUCAAGCGGCGAGUUUCCGAUAAAAGGGACAACUUGAAUCUAUUUUCAGUCAAGUUCAAGCGGCGAGUUCCCGAUAAAGGGACAACUUGAAUCUAUUUUCAGUCAAGUUCAAGCGGCAAGUUCCCGAUAAAGGGACAACUUGAAUCUAGUUUCAGUCAAACGGCAAGUUCCCGAUAAAGGGACAGCUUGAACCUAUUUCCAGUCAGUUUCAAUUUCAAUUUCAAUUUCAAUUUCAAAAGUGUCAUACCCGGCGUAAAGCCGUGCAAGCCAUGUCACUAAUCAAUUUCAAUUUCAAUUUUCAAUUUCAAAAGUGUCAUACCCGGCGUAAAGCCGUGCAAGCCAUGUCACUAAUCAAUUUCAAUUUCAAUUUCAAUUUUCAAUUUCAAAAGUGUCAUACCCGGCGGAAAGCCGUGCAAGCCAUGUCACUAAUCAAUUUCAAUUUCAAUUUCAAUUUCAAAAGUGUCUUCCCCGGCGUAAAGCCGUACUAGUGAUGUCACUAAUCAAUUUCAAAGUGUCAUCCCUAGGCGUGAAGCUGUGUCAGUGAUGUCACUAGUUUAAUUUCAAUCACCUGUUAUACAUGUAGUAGACAAUCAUUUCCCCCAGUGAAACUACAUUCCCCUCGUGGAGUCAGGAUCCCUUUCUUCAGCGAAUUCGGGUAUCCCAUUGUUGUUUCUCAUUCCAGUCAAGCCAUCUAUGUCAUCCUGCAUUCAUAAUUGCAUCGCAUGCAUUCAUAACAUCUUAGGCCAAAAAUUGUGUACUUUGUAUUUAAGUCUCUUCGACCCGUCGAAUCAAAGAUUCCAUCUUCAAAUCUCUGGUCGAAGAAACUUAAAUAGGGGCAUCUGUCAUACCCCAAUUUUUGACCCAAGAUACCACUUACACGUGUCAUUUAAACUCCGACCGGUCUCAGCCUUUCGAGCAAAAAAUUCGGCAGGGAGGUAUUUUAAAAUACCUCAUAGUUGGUUCCGAGUCGGGCCCUCUUCUCUCAAUUUUCAAUUUUCAUCUAAUUUCCAUCUUUUAUCAACUUUAAAUCCAUCUUAAAUUUUUAUCUUUUUAUCUCAUUUUGAUUCACUUCUAUCUUUUAUUUUAUUUUAUCUUUAUUAUUAUUAUUUUCCAAUUUGGUCCGAUAAUAUCCAAUUUACAGCCUGUCAGCUUCCUCUCCAAGCCACAACAGCCUGUCAUGUUUCCUCCCCAAGCAACAAAAUUUUGCUCAUUUCAAGCUCUAUAAAUACAACACGCAAGCAGCACACAGAGAGGGGGGCCCAACAAACAAAAAAAACAUUCCACGGCCACAACACAACACACAAGACAACAAUUUUCAUUCUUUUUUCGAUCCCAAACCAGCAACCAACAGAGAACAAUUUUCCUCCCAUUUUUUCUUACAAUCCAAACCUUUCCAAUCAACCAACCAAACACAAAUUUCAAACCAGAACAUUUCUAACACAAGAUCAACAACCAAACUCACAGAUCCGGUAACCAAACCGCAAAACAACACACAAACUGUUCUCAUAACAAAACCGAACCAUCGCAACUCAAAUCGAACCAAAUCUUUACAAACCCUCUCAAACCAAAAAGGUAGUAUUUCUUUCCUUAGAUCUAGGUCCAACCGCUUGGUAAAAAUAUUUUUUGAGCUUAAAAUCAUAAAGAGUGAGUAAAAAGAAGUAAAAAGAAGUAAAAAGAACGAAAAAAGGAGACGCUUUCAUCUCCGGCGCGGCGGCGCAGCCGCUAUGGCUCACCGGCCACCGCGCCGGAACCCCCUCCGACCACCAUCUCUCCACCGGAGAAGAUGAAGAAAUUCUAGAGAGAAGGCAGAGCUUCUCUCUCUAGAAAUAAGAGAAGAGAGAGAAAGAAAAAUAAAAGUGAAUGAAAAAAACCAGUCCUGCCUAUUUAUACUACUAGACCGAACCGGUUCAAAUCUGAACCGGUCUGAACCGGUCUAAUCCAGGCCCAUGCGUUUUUCCUGAGGCCCAAUCUCGAUUCUUCAUUUUUAUUCUUGCACCCUCACUUUACUGCUCAUACACCACCAGCAUCUCAUCUUUUUACUUUCUUUUUUUCAUGCAUUUUAAUUUCCUCUCUAUUAAUCCAGAGUGCUCUGGUCCUAUAUUAACUGUUAAUAUUAUAUUCUUGUUUAAUUUAAUUAUUCUCCAGAACAAUCUGGUCCUUGUUAAUUAAAUUAAUCCAGAGUGCUCUGGUCCUAUAUUAACUGUUAAUAUUAUAUUUUUGUUUAAUUUAAUUAUUCUCCAGAACAAUCUGGUCCUUGUUAAUUAAAUUAAUCCAGAGUGCUCUGGUCCUAUAUUAACUGUUAAUAUUAUAUUUUUGUUUAAUUUAAUUAUUCUCCAGAGUGCUCUGGUCAUUGUUAAUUAAAUUAAUCCAGAGUGCUCUGGUCCUAAAUUAACUGUUAAUAUUAUAUUCUCCAGAAUAUUCUGGUCCUAUAUAUAUAUUAAAUACUAUUUAUCUUGUUGAACUAACAAUCUUUUCUUCACACCCACACACUUUAUUUUUUUGUUGCUCUAUUUGUUUAAUUUUCCAUUACUAUUCAAAACAACAAAAACAUUCAAAUAUUCAAAAAACAACAAAAACAUUCAAAUAUCCAAAAUUCACAAAAAGAGCUUUUCACAACAAACCUUGACUUUCAAUCAAGUGACCGUCUUUUUAUUUUAUUUUUCUUAAUCAAAUUUCAAAUCAAUUCUAAUUCAACUUCAAGUCAAUUUUCUUCAAUCUAAAAAACACAAAUCAAUUCUCAUUUGCCAUUUGGCUUUUUAUUUCAAAACCUUUUUCAAAACAUAUAAAAAACACCAAACAAAUCAAACGUCAAUUUCUACCCCGAACUACGAGGUUUUGAUCCCUCACGGGUACGUAGGCAGAGGACCUUGUCCUUCCAAAUCAAUUAAAAAACAAUUUUCUUUUUUCUUUUCAACUUUCAACUAAAAAACAAUUUUCUUUUUUUUCCUUCAAUCAAAAUCAAUUUUCUUUUUCUUUUCAACUCAUCAUUCAAUUCUAUUUUCAUCUCUUUAAAAGCAAGCAAGUUUAAGCACAAAAAGUUAAAUAAAAUCAAGAGGUUCUCGUAGAGUACUACGAAUAUUUAGGGUGCUAACACCUUCCCUAAAUAUAACCAACCCCCGAACCCUAAAUCUCUUCAAAAUGGGUUGUUUGGAACUUUUUCCCCUUAAAAAAAAAUUUGUUCAGUCGUGAGAUAAAAAGUGAGUCAAAGUCAAUCAAAUGGCCUUGACGUCCGAAAAAUGGCGCGACAUUAUUUAUACGAUAUUAUUAUAAAUCAUGAAUAUGCUCCUUAAGAUGGCUAAUCGAUACAAUAAAUAUCUGUUUCAGGCUAUGAGAUACUGCUAUGCUAUCUUGUAUCACAUUAUUCUGCUCACUUUCUAAUGGUUAGAAUUUUGUUUUUCUUGGCCCUUUUAAGGGUGAUGGAAUAGAUGCAGAGGCUGGAUUGCUGGAAGAUAUUCUCAUUCACGAGGAAAUCUAUAAGUCUCGACUAGCCAGCAUUAAACGGGUAAGUUGCUACUUCUCCGCUUAUUCUAUUUCCUCUUUAUACUUCUACUGACUGAACAAUUUUCAGGAAGAAGAAAUUGUUUUGCGAGAGAGGGACCACUACGAACUAGAGAAGGGAAGACUAAUUCGUGAAAUGAAACGCAUUCGGGAUGAAGAUGGUUCACGGUUCAACAAUUUUCAGAUUCUAAACCAUCGUUACGCCCUUCUAAACCUUUUUGGAAAGUGAGGAUUCAGCGAGGUGUACAAGGUCUAAACUUUACUGUACAAUAUUAAUCAUUUUAUCAUAUUUAUAUUAAUUUAGCGAAUAUUAUACAUGGUUGAGUUACUAAAACCAGAAUCCUAGAGAGUUCCUUUGCCUUUUAUUGGCAAAUGUAAAUAAAUACCUUUUUGCAGUGAUUUGAAGUAAAAAAUUUCCAGCAGGCUUUUGAUUUGGUGGAGCAUAGAUAUGUUGCAUGCAAGCUUCAUGGUUUAAAUGCUCAAUGGAGUGAAGAGAAGAAGCAAAGUUACAUAAGGCAUGCAAUUCGGGAGUAUAAUAUUCACAAGACCUUGGUCCAUCGUCAUAUUGUUCGUUUAUGGAACAUCUUUGAGAUUGAUCCAAAUACAUUCUGCACUGUUCUAGAGUAUUGCAGCGGUAUAUACACCUCAUAUGUUUUAUGAAGAUAAUUAUUUUGUUUACUUUUGUUAUAGACUAUGGGUCUGUUUGGAUUGAGUUAUUUGAGCUUGCACUUUGUGAGACUGUUUGAGAGAGCUUAUGAAUACAACCUAUGAAAUGUUAAUAAGCUGUUUUCAGCUUAUUUCCAUAAGCUCUCCAGAAUAACUUAUGAAAACAACUUAUAGCUUAUAUGAAAACUUUUUGAUUUGAUUUUAUCUUUUAUUAUAGAAAUAACUUUUGCAUAGCACUUAAAUGAUAAACACAUCUAUAAGUGCUUGAUGAAGUUGUUUAUCCAAACAUGCUUAUAAAUAUUGUAUGUUUGAUUUCUUGUUUUGUCUACUGCUCCUUCAUUUGAUCCUCCUCUGUUCUACCAGGGAAAGAUCUUGAUGCUGUUCUUAAAGAAACACCUAUAUUGCCUGAGAAGGAGGCUAGAGUCAUUUUAGUUCAGAUUUUCCAAGGCCUUAUUUACAUGAAUAGAAGAGCACUGAAGAUUAUCCAUUAUGAUUUAAAGCCUGGAAAUGUUUUGUUUGAUGAGCUUGGUAUUGCCAAAGUGACUGAUUUUGGUCUUAGCAAGAUUGUGGAGAAUGACGUGGGAUCCCAGGGUAUGGAACUUACAUCCCAGGGGGCUGGAACGUAUUGGUAAGUGAUGAAGAUCAUUGUUGUAGGAUUUCUAAUUUUGAAGUGUUCCAAACUUGUUGGUUUUAAACUUCUUUAACAUUUGCUUUAAUAAACUUCUUUUUGCCUUUCUUUCAUUUUUGAUUUGCAGGUAUUUGCCUCCUGAAUGCUUUGAGCUCAGCAAGACGCCUCUUAUAUCAUCCAAGGUCAUUAAUUAUUUUUUAGUCGUGGAUGCAUGGAUCAUUUUUUUGUGUUAUGAUUUAUGAAUCUCAAUUUGUCAGUCAUUUUGGUCAAUGGAUAUUUCGUUUUAACAUAAGUUUCGUGAUGUCGGUAUUGUGCAAACAACUAAGUGUUGGAUAAUUAUCUUACUUGAUAUUCACAUAAUAUUUCUGACUUGUGGAAAACAGGUUGAUGUCUGGUCUGCUGGUAUUUUGUUUUAUCAAAUGCUAUUCAGCAGACGUCCUUUCGGACAUGACCAAAUACAAGAAAGAAUACUUCGUGAAGAUACAAUUAUUAAAGCACGCAAGGUUGAAUUUCCCUCAAGACCUACUGUUUCUAAUGAGGCAAAGGUAGGUUGAGACCUUUUACGAUAAGUACUGCCCGUAGCUUAUUGUUCUUUGGCCAUCGUUCAUUUAUUUAUAUUAUUCUAUUAUUCUGUGGACACGAUCUUCACCUGUUUUAGGUUAUAUUAUUGCAUGAAAAUUCGACUUUAUUCUAUGUGCAGUCGCAAUUAGCCUUGACAAUUCAUCUGAAUGUGCAAAUUCUCUCCUUGGUAUCACAAUGCCAUUAAAAUGUUAAUAAUGGUUUGAUAGUUGAAAGUAAUUUGCAGCAAUGAGAAACUAUUGGUAGUGCAAGAUAUUUUUUCAUUUAAAAAUUUAUAUUUCUAAUUAUCAUCAGCACUCAGCAGAACCAUAAUAAUAUUUCUUAGGCAUUGUAUUAUUCUCUAAGUAACAAACUAUAAAGUAAUUAUAAUCUCAACUGUUGAAGAAGGAAACAAACUAUGAAGAAGUUAAAGUCUCACUGUUGAUUUCCAAUCAAGAAAUAUAAUUUCGCACUGUUUUCUCUGAAUAAAACUCCUCACAGUUUAGAGGAACCAAAUCCAAAAUACCUGUACUUACUGCCUACAAAUAUCACUGAAACCUGACAAUUAUCUCUACUGCAUGUACAAAUUUGUCAGGAAUUUAUACGGCGGUGUCUGACAUAUAACCAGGCUGAGAGACCAGAUGUAUUGACCAUUGCUCAAGAUCCAUAUCUCACAUACGUGAAGAAGUAGUGAUGUUCAUUGACAUGGCUUUGUUACCCUUUCCCUACCAAAAAAGCAUAUGGGGAUCUCAUCUUCUAACUUCAGUCACUAAAUAUCUGUCAGAAUUUGUAUAGGCUAUUAAGGUUUUCUUGUCUCAAAUGAGUGAGGGAAAGGAUUUUUCCCAUUCUACAAGGAGUUCUUGUUUUCUUCAUGCAUUUAUCAUUUUGGUUCAAAAUACCGGAGUAGCAAAAAGCUAGUUGAGUUGACUUGACCUUGAAAGGGUCAUGAUGUAUAGGUAGGUAAGAAGUUUUUUUUUUUUUUUUUUUUAAUUAUUUUUUUAAUUAUUCUUCUUGCCACCAAAUUAUUGGAUUAUAAUGCAUAUUGAUCGGCUACAUUUUCUUUUCAUUUGUAAAGAGUUGUUUAAAGACAUUUUAUUGAAGAGUUUGCUUAUCUUACAAUUGUGUAAUAGAUGGUUCAGCCUAGUAUGUGUGAUGAUGUAUUUCAAUCAAACUGGCAAUGGUACAGCAAUGAAAAACAACUUGUUAUUUGUAACUUGGCCUCAGUUACAUAUGCUUGUUCAACUUUGGCGAGCCAACUUUUGAAACCUUGGGUUUUGUAAUUCCCUGAUGAGGGUUUGCAGUGCCUCAAUAAUAAUGAUGGCAAUUGGGGCCCCCCAACAUCAUUUCUGAAAGACGAACUCGCACAUGCACAAGUAGAAGGAAGGCAUUUGGCACACUACCAUUGUGGCCGCGUGGGUGUGGCGACCGCAAUCUGUGUUUUGCCACAAGGGCUUGGACGUUAUGAGCUCUAUUCUUUGCCUCCUUCUAUAGAUCAUCAUCACCAAGAGCAUGCUUCUUGAGUUCUCAAGAGUCUUAGAACUUUUAUCGACAGUUGCGCAACCAAAUUAUUGUAAUUGCUUGAGCUUGCCUCACAAUCUCUACAUUUAGAACUUCAAAUCUCUACAUUUUAUAUAUUUCCUCAUUGCCAUAGUCCAUAAGCCUUUUACUCUUCUAGUGAUACUUCUGUACACUUCAAUUUGAUCUCCUAAACUUAGCGUUGGGAUUAUCAAACUCCCCACCAAUCAAUAUUUUCAUUGUCAGAUUCGUAAAUAUCUUGUCUUGAUAGCAAAAAAAGAACAGAUCUGAAUUCUCAAUGGUUCAUGCAUCUGCCUUCACACAUUUAUUAUACUAACAUCUCCAAAUUUCUUCCACCAGUUUAGAUUUAAAUAAAUGACCAUCUCGACGACAAAACUUGUGCUGUAAUAGAUCAAUAGCUUAAUAAAAAACAACAACGAUCCUUUUCAGUCUAGUGCACUGAUAGAAUAUUAGAUAUUGGUGAUUAAUAUUACAAAUAUUGCUUCAAUUGUUAAAAUUUGUAAGCCUUCUUACAUGACAUGUCAGCUAAUCAAUUAAGCUAUUCAACUUACGGAUCUCCAAGUUGACAACAAUGCUCAAAAGUAAUAAAAGAAAAAACAUUCAAUAACAAAAAAGGUGUCCGGUAGUGAGGGUCACAUGACCACGUGUCACAUUUAUAUGUGGUGGUAGAAAAGGUAUGUGACACUUGUGGUGGUCAACUUAUCACCACUCAAUGAUUUGCAUUAAUGUUUUAGAUAAAAAUGUCUCUCUCACGUAGUUGCACUUCACUAAAUAGAGUGCCCCAGACUCCCAUUGUGACCCCACAAGAAAAUAGCUAAAUAGCUUUGGUUAACCCUUAUUAUUUUUUUUAAACAAGUCUAUCAUCUACAAUAUUUUUUUGUUAAGCAAAACAUUUUAUUUACUAGCUAUCGAAGUAUGAAAAUGAACUUGUACUUGCAACAAUGCCUAAAGCCUUGAAUUUACCUUCGUUGUUUGUUGGACAAUGGACAUAUCAUAGUGAUUUGAGUUGAUGUGCGUUUUGUUUGUCAUUUAUGCCGACUAUUUGAUGAAAGGAUUAGGAAGUACAAUAUUCAGCAUCAUCAUUUUCGAAGGCAUGCUGGGAGUUUGGUAGUGAACGACAUUAUACGAGGGGUGGCACCGCUUAGUGCCGAAUCGCUAGUUUGGUUUAUAAUUCAAGAGAAGUUGACCACAAGGAAUAGAUUCAAGAGAUUAAAUAUUAUACUUGAACCAUAUUUGCACAUCACAGCUUAAAGCAACAAUACGUUUUACUCAUAUUUUCAUAUGAAUGUGUAUGUAUUUACGCAUGUUUUAAUGAAUAUUGUUCAAUUAUUCAUUCAUUGCCGCAGUACCCUAAUCGAGUCGAUGACACACUUGAACAGGCAUAAAGGAGCGAUAAUUACAUAGAAAUAAUAUUUGGAUGCUGUGACACCAUUCAAUUCCAUUUUAUAAGAGAAGUUGAACACUGAAAUAGAUUAAAUAUUACACAAUGAGGAUAUUGUUUCAAAUAUACAUUAUUCAAAAGGUAAAAAACAUCACCAUCCUUCAAUUGAAGCACCAACAUCUAUAUCCAUCAUAGAAAUUAAAAACAACAUAUUUUGAUAUGUGUGAACUACCUAACAACCAAAAGACAUUGAGAUAAAAAAAAGUUUAGAAGUUGAAGCAAUUAAGUCUUAUCAUUUAUUCAACAAUAAAAUCUUGAAAGUAACAAAAAAGCAAUUAAUCACUUUAAUUUCUUAUUUGUUCAACAACUUACAAUAACACAUUGGUGUAUAUAUAUAUAUAUAUAUAUAAUACAACAUCCCUUAAACUGGGAAGUUCUGAUUAAUUACAAACAGCUGUAACUACAUAUUUGAAAAUACAAACAUCAAAUUAAUUCAUUCUUCUGCGAUUUGCACAGUAUCUGUUGUUUGUUCUUUUCAGUCUUAUGUUAAACAUGUUUUCAACAAUUCUAACAAGCCAUUGAGGUUUACCAGUGAAGAAGAAUACAUUAUAUCCCAAGAGGAACCCGGAUAUUGCCCCACAUCCAUAUCCAAUUGCCACAGCUUUCCAGCCAAAUCCGGAUUCUUCUUCAUCUUCAGAUGUUGAAUGAGGUGGCAGAUCUUCCUCAUUUUUGCAUGAUUUAGACAAUUGGAAUCCACACAACAUUGUAUUUCCUUCAAAAGAAUCAUUUCCAAAUGUAUUAAACUGUUGACCUUUAGGUAUGAUUCCCUCAAGGUGGUUUUGUGAAAGGUUUAAGACUGAGAGGAAGUUCAAAUUUGUCAAAGCCACAGGAAUCUCACCCUUCAAUUGGUUGCAUGAGAGGUCCAACCACUCCAAAUUUCUCAAAUGACUCAAAGAUUGUGGAAUGCUACCUGUGAUUCCAUUGUUUGAAAGGUUAAGUCCUUUGAGAGAAUUUAAUUCUCCAAUGACUUGUGGAAUUUCACCUUCAAACAUGUUAUUUGAUAAAUCAAUAGUUGUGAAAGCAGUCAAUAUCCUUGUUAGCUCAAUGAAAAAACCUUUCACUGUGACCACAACAGAAUCAUUAUAGUAAUAACCCACACCCUUGUAUUGCAAACCAAUUUGGCUGUCAUUCACAUUCAUCAUUCCUUGAAAGUUCUUGAUGCAUGAUGUUGGCAAGGGCCCACUAAAAUUGUUGAUAGAAACAUCAAAAAUUCUCAACUUAGGAAAUGAAUGCUUGGUGCUAGAACAAGUGAUUGCACCAUGAAGAUUAUUUGAUCGUAAGCUUAGAACUUGUAACUCUUGUAGAGUUUCUAGCCAAUUUGGAAAUGUGUCCUCUAUGUUGUUGUCACCAAGGUCCAAAACUUCAAGAAAUGAACAGUGAGACAAAGACUGUGGUAAUGGUCCUUCCAAUUGGUUUCCAUUCAACUUUAUAGUCUGAAAUGCAUUUUCUUUGGAAAAGGUUCUAGGAAUGUUUCCAUAGAGGUUGUUCAUUUGCAUAUCCAAUACAUUAAGAGAAGUUAAUGUUCCCAGGCAUUGUGGAAUCAUACCUGUUAAAUUGUUGUGAGCCAAAUUGAGAACAUUCAGGUAACUUGCAUUGCAGAAUGUUGAAGAUAUAUCUCCUGUGAAAUUGUUGUUUGAGAGUAAAUAGUUUUUAAUGCCAUCAGGUGGAAUUGGAAGAUCUCCUUGAAAGUUGUUGUGAGCCAAAUUGAGGGUAUAAAGGGAACUUGCAUUGCAGAAUGUUGAAGAAAUAUUUCCUGUGAAGUUGUUAUUUGAGAGUGAAAAGUAUUGAAUGCCAGAAGGUGGAAUUGGAAGAUCUCCUUGUAACUUGUUGAAACUCAAGUCAAUGUACGAAAUCUCAUUCCAUGAGUUUAAGAGCUUCUUAUGAAACCAUUUGGGAAUUUUCCCAUGAAUGUUGUUAUUGGAGAGAUCUAAUCUUUGAAGAUUU
This 61564-nucleotide long non-coding RNA is filed under the name Medicago truncatula (barrel medic). RNAcentral describes it as "long non-coding RNA (MTRU_LNC003618)". The stretch from base 7994 to 8078 matches the Rfam family "MIR2617 microRNA precursor family". The record is from RNAcentral. Lineage: Eukaryota; Viridiplantae; Streptophyta; Magnoliopsida; Fabales; Fabaceae.